CUCAAGCCAGCAAGAAGCACACACGAAGCUCAUAGCCAUUCAAAGCCUCUCCAUCUCCGAAGCUCCAACCCAACCUCGAAGAUGUCUUGCUGCGGAGGAAACUGCGGCUGCGGCACCGCCUGCAAGUGCGGCAACGGCUGCGGCGGCUGCAACAUGUACCCCGAGGUUGAGGCCGCCGGCGCCACCCUCCUCGUCUCCGCCACCGCCACCCACAAGGCGUAAGUUUCUGUCUCUUAACAAAAUUUCCUCCUGAACCCAUACAUCAUCAUGCACUCGAUCGUAAUAAUAUGACUGGAUGUUGAUCUUGGUAUGGAUGGGGUACGUGCAGGAGCUCCGGCGGGAUGGAGAUGGCGGCCGAGAACGGCGGCUGCGGCUGCACCCAGUGCAAGUGCGGCACCAGCUGCGGCUGCUCCUGCUGCAGCUGCUAGAUCCAUCAUCGAUCAUGCAUGCACCGUGCCGUGCGUGCAUCAUCGAUCAUAUCGAUCUACUACUACCAUACCAUGUAACCGCAACCUGAUCGAGGGCCUUUAUGUACGCACCUGACCUGCAUCAGCAGUCAGGUGCCAUGCCAUGAUUGUAAACAGGCCCCCCUAAAUAAAACCUCCCUUGAUUAACUAUACAUGUGUCGUCUGUGGUAUGCAUAUAUCAUCACCUUCUUUUUCUUCUUCCUCAUGGCAGAAAAAACACUGCUUAAGAGUUGAGAGCGCCGAGAAUAUUACUAGAAAUGGUCAUAAGCAAAAGAUUUAAGGAUGUUGUGACUUUUUGCUCACAAUAAAUAUCUAGUAAAUGCCGAAGACGUACCUGAUGAACUGAAAAUAUCAGUGGAGAUGCAUCUUACCAUAGCAUGCUGAUGCUGGAAAAUAAAAAGGAUGCCGCUGUACCACCCAUACUUAUUAAUCUUAAUUACGAGAAGAUCAAGUUUCUAGCUUCGAAUUAAUUAAACUGUAGACCUCGACAAAAGAUUUAAAAAUAUAUAUUCCCUUUGGGGGAAAGCAAACUAAGACUAAAAGGAAUCCUUUCGCCAAAACAAGACGGAAAUAAAUCAUGAGCGCCACUUUGCACACCAGGUUCGCUUUGCAAGAAUUAUUCGCUUUAGACAGGUUCCGACACGAUAGUAUUACACUUCGCACCAGAUCUGGCACGACAAUAUUAGCAAGACAUUCCCCCUUUUUAUCCACCGCCAAAAAACAUAUUAAUGAUAUAUUUUAAACUGAUCGAUGCUACAUAUUGUUAUUUCACUUUACUGUUGUUGUUGUGUUGUUUCCAUAUUAUUAUUUUCUCUCAGAUUGUUGGUGUGUGGCUCUCUGCAUCUUAGUUCUGCAGAGGCUAGGUGUUGCCCAUCACGAUUUGUAUCUGCUUGAUGCUACAUUUUGAGUUAAUAAAAGUGCCCUUUAUUGGAAAAAAACAUGUUUCACAAGUUAAAAUUGACGACCUAAAUUCCUAUGCCGGACUUAUAUUCCCACAUAAGAAAAUUAUCACUUCAUUUUUCUUCUACCUCAUGGCACAAAAUANNNNNNNNNNNNNNNNNNNNNNNNNNNNNNNNNNNNNNNNNNNNNNNNNNNNNNNNNNNNNNNNNNNNNNNNNNNNNNNNNNNNNNNNNNNNNNNNNNNNNNNNNNNNNNNNNNNNNNNNNNNNNNNNNNNNNNNNNNNNNNNNNNNNNNNNNNNNNNNNNNNNNNNNNNNNNNNNNNNNNNNNNNNNNNNNNNNNNNNNNNNNNNNNNNNNNNNNNNNNNNNNNNNNNNNNNNNNNNNNNNNNNNNNNNNNNNNNNNNNNNNNNNNNNNNNNNNNNNNNNNNNNNNNNNNNNNNNNNNNNNNNNNNNNNCUUGCGGCUCACUUUUCUUUUUUUCCCCCAUCCCCGCACUUGCCCUUUUGCUACUUAUUCGUAUGAAGGCAACAUAAUUUGAGCAACUGCACCAUUUUUUUUUUGCUCAUGUUGACUUGGAUGAAGCUGGGUAUAUGACAAACCCUAUCAUGUAUAUCCUCUUUAUUCUCCUUAGUAUGCACCAAUGAAUCUUUAUGAAUAAUGAAUUUUAGACUUGAAUGUGCACGCGUCUCUCCUCCCUUCGUCUCUCAUCCCAAGAGAAAAUGUGGCUAGGUUUCCUUCCUCCCAUCAGCGGCGCCGCCGAUCUGCCUCGUCUCCUGUGUCUUUAGGACUACGGAGGUGCAGUGGAUCCCGACCCUUGAUGACGGGAGGGCUCCAAUGGAUUUCGUUAGGGUCUGUGCCAUGCUCAGGAAGGCGAGACAUUGGCGGCUCCCUAGAGAUGUAAAAGGUUCUCCCUGCCACUGUCCCGGUGGUGCGUCUAACAUUAUCGGAGAGCAUGUGGAGGUGUGUCUCCAAUGGAUUCUGUAGGAUUCGGUCGGUGGUUGCCUUUGGUGGAUCUGCUCGGAUCUAGACUUCGUUCGUCUAUGUUCGUGUGUCUUCAGGUUGGAUCCUUCCGAUCUACAAUUCACUUCAUCGGCGGCGGUUGUUGUCCUGGUGUGCUGGUCCUAUGGGGUCUUAGCAUGACAACUUCCUGACUAUCUACUACAACAAGUUUUGCCCGGCUCCGGCAAGAGAGGGGUGAUGACGGCAGCCCGUUUUCGGCUCGCUUCAGCGGUUAUAGUCGUCGCUAGGUGGUCUAUGGAUCUAGAUGUAAUAUUUUUUUCGUAUAUUUGUUGUACUGCCACAUGAUUGAAGAUUCAUAGAUCGGAAGUUUCUCGAAAAAUCUUUAUGAAUAACCAUUUCCCUAUCUUCAACUUUGUUGUGUCCAUUCUCAACAUGUGUCUCUUUAGCUUGUAGGGAGGUAUCUUGUUUCUCCCUCAACUUUACAUCUUUGUUCUCAGUAGCGACGCCUCCAAAUCUUAUUCGCUAUCAUAUCCAAGUGGUACAAAUUCAUUUAUGUGGAGAUGGUUUUUUUCUGUUCACUCUCUGCCAAGUAUUUCACAAAAAUAGAUCAUAGCAUGUCGUUGCUUCAACAUAUUUUCCACAAAAUAUAUCUCAUCCUCCUCCUUGCACAUUGUUGCAGUUGGGGAACGUAGUAAUUUCAAAAAAUUUCCUACGCACACGCAAGAUCAUGGUGAUGCAUAGCAACGAGAGGGGAGAGUGUUGUCCACGUACCCUCGUAGACCGAAAGCGGGAGCGUUAGCACAACGCGGUUGAUGUAGUCGUACGUCUUCACGAUCCGACCGAUCAAGUACCGAACGCACGGCACCUCCGAGUUCAGCACACGUUCAGCCCGAUAACGUCCCUCGAACUCCGAUCCAGCCGAGUGUUGAGGGAGAGUUUCGUCAGCACGACGGCGUGGUGACGAUGAUGAUGUUCUACCGACGCAGGGCUUCGCCUAAGCACCGCUACAGUAUUAUCGAGGUGGACUAUGGUGGAGGGGGGCACCGCACACAGCUAAAAGAUCAAACGAUCAAUUGUUGUGUCUCUAGGGUGCCCCCCUGCCCACGUAUAUAAAGGAGAAAGGGGGGAGGUGCGGCCGGCCAGGAGGGGGCGCGCCAGGAGGAGUCCUACUCCCACCGGGAGUACGACUCCCUCCCUUUUCCUUGUGGGAUUAGGAGUGGGGGGAAGAGGAAGAGGAGAAGAAGGAANNNNNNNNNNNNNNNNNNNNNNNNNNNNNNNNNNNNNNNNNNNNNNNNNNNNNNNNNNNNNNNNNNNNNNNNNNNNNNNNNNNNNNNNNNNNNNNNNNNNNNNNNNNNNNNNNNNNNNNNNNNNNNNNNNNNNNNNNNNNNNNNNNNNNNNNNNNNNNNNNNNNNNNNNNNNNNNNNNNNNNNNNNNNNNNNNNNNNNNNNNNNNNNNNUGUCCAAUUCGGACUAUAGGGGGAGGGGGCGCGCGGCCUGCCCUGGCCGCCCCUCCUCUUCUCCACUAAGGCCCACUAUGGCCCAUUAAACCCCCGAGGGGUUCCGGUAACCCCUCCGGUACUCCGGUAAAAUCCCGAUUUCACCCGAAACACUUCCGAUAUCCAAAUAUAGGCUUCCAAUAUAUCAAUCUUCAUGUCUCGACCAUUUCGAGACUCCUCGUCUUUUCCGUGAUCACAUCCGGGACUCCGAACAACCUUCGGUACAUCAAAACUCAUAAACUCAUAAUAUAACCGUCAUCGAAACUUUAAGCGUGCGGACCCUACGGGUUCGAGAACUAUGUAGACAUGACCGAGACAUGUCUCCGGUCAAUAACCAAUAGCGGAACCUGGAUGCUCAUAUUGGCUCCCACAUAUUCUACGAAGAUCUUUAUCGGUCAAACCGCAUAACAACAUACGUUGUUCCCUUUGUCAUCGGUAUGUUACUUGCCCGAGAUUCGAUCGUCGGUAUCAAUACCUAGUUCAAUCUCGUUACCGGCAAGUCUCUUUACUCGUUCCAUAAUACAUCAUCCCGCAACUAUCUCAUUAGUUGCAAUGCUUGCAAGGCUUAAGUGAUGUGCAUUACCGAGUGGGCCCAGAGAUACCUCUCCGACAAUCGGAGUGACAAAUCCUAAUCUCGAAAUACGCCAACCCAACAAGUACCUUCGGAGACACCUGUAGAGCACCUUUAUAAUCACUCAGUUACGUUGUGACGUUUGGUAGCACACAAAGUGUUCCUCCGGUAAACGGGAGUUGCAUAAUCUCAUAGUCACAGGAACAUGUAUAAGUCAUGAAGAAAGCAAUAGCAACAUACUAAACGAUCGAGUGCUAAGCUAACGGAAUGGGUCAAGUCAAUCACAUCGUUCUCCUAAUGAUGUGAUCCCGUUAAUCAAAUGACAACUCAUGUCUAUGGCUAGGAAACAUAACCAUUUUUGAUCAACGAGCUAGUCAAGUAGAGGCAUACUAGUGACACUCUGUUUGUCUAUGUAUUCACACAAGUAUUAUGUUUCCGGUUAAUACAAUUCUAGCAUGAAUGAUAAACAUUUAUCAUGAUAUAAGGAAAUAAAUAAUAACUUUAUUAUUGCCUCUAGGGCAUAUUUCCUUCAGUCUCCCACUUGCACUAGAGUCAAUAAUCUAGAUUACACAGUGCUCGUGGAAGAGGCUUAGUCAAUGGGUCUGCAACAUUCAGAUCCGUAUCUAUCUUGCAAAUUCCUAUCUCUCCCACCUGGACUAAAUCCCGGAUGGAAUUGAAGCGUCUCUUGAUGUGCUUGGUUCUCUUGUGAAAUCUGGAUUCCUUCGCCAAGGCAAUUGCACCAGUAUUGUCACAAAAGAUUUUCAUUGGACCCGAUGCACUAGGUAUGACACCUAGACCGAUGCACUAGAUAUGACACCUAGAUCGGAUAUGAACUCCUUCAUCCAGACUCCUUCAUUUGCUGCUUCCGAAGCAGCUAUGUACUCCGCUUCACACGUAGAUCCCGCCACGACGCUUUGUUUAGAACUGCACCAACUGACAGCUCCACCGUUCAAUGUAAACACGUAUCCGGUUUGCGAUUUAGAAUCGUCCGGAUCAGUGUCAAAGUUUGCAUCAACGUAACCAUUUACGAUGAGCUCUUUGUCACCUCCAUAAACGAGAAACGUAUCCUUAGUCCUUUUCAGGUAUUUCAGGAUGUUCUUGACCGCUGUCCAGUGAUCCACUCCUGGAUUACUUUGGUACCUCCCUGCCAAACUUAUAGCAAGGCACACAUCAGGUCUGGUACACAGCCGUGCAUACAUGAUAGAGCCUAUGGCUGAAGCAUAGGGAACAUCUUUCAUCUUCUCUCUAUCUUCUGCAGUGGUCGGGCAUUGAGUCUUAUUCAACUUCACACCUUGUAACACAGGCAAGAACCCUUUCUUUGCUUGAUCCAUUUUGAACUUCUUCAAAACUUUGUCAAGGUAUGUGCUUUGUGAAAGUCCAAUUAAGCGUCUUGAUCUAUCUCUAUAGAUCUUAAUGCCCAAUAUAUAAGCAGCUUCACCGAGGUCUUUCGUUAAAAAACUCUUAUUCAAGUAUCCCUUUAUGCUAUCCAGAAAUUCUAUAUCAUUUCCAAUCAACAAUAUGUCAUCCACAUAUAAUAUCAGAAAUGCUACAGAGCUCCCACUCACUUUCUUGUAAAUACAGGCUUCUCCAAAAGUCUGUAUAAAACCAAAUGUUUUGAUCACACUAUCAAAGCGUUUAUUCCAACUCCGAGAGGCUUGCACCAGUCCAUAAAUGGAUCGCUGGAGCUUGCACACUUUGUUAGCUCCCUUUGGAUCGACAAAACCUUCUGGUUGCAUCAUAUACAACUCUUCUUCUAGAAAUCCAUUCAGGAAUGCAGUUUUUACAUCCAUUUGCCAAAUUUCAUAAUCAUAAAAUGCGGCAAUUUCUAACAUGAUUCGGACAGACUUAAGCAUCACUACGGGUGAGAAGGUCUCAUCGUAGUCAAUCCCUUGAACUUGUCGAAAACCUUUUGCAACAAGUUGAGCUUUAUAGACAGUAACAUUACCGUCAGCGUCAGUCUUCUUCUUGAAGAUCCAUUUAUUCUCUAUGGCUUGCCGAUCAUCGGGCAACUCAACCAAAGUCCACACUUUGUUCUCAUACAUGGAUCCCAUCUCAGAUUUCAUGGCCUCAAGCCAUUUUGCGGAAUCUGGGCUCACCAUCGCUUCUUCAUAGUUCGUAGAUUCGUCAUGGUCUAGUAACAUAACCUCCAGAACAGGAUUACCGUACCACUCUGGUGCGGAUCUUACUCUGGUUGACCUACGAGGUUCAGUAACAACUUGAUCUGAAGUUUCAUGAUCAUCAUCAUUAACUUCCUCACUAAUUGGUAUAGACGUCACAGGAACCGGUUUCUGUGAUGAACUAAUUUCCAAUAAGGGAGCAGGUACGGUUACCUCAUCAAGUUCUACUUUCCUCCCACUCACUUCUUUCGAGAGAAACUCCUUCUCUAGAAAGGAUCCAUUCUUAGCAACGAAUGUCUUGCCUUCGGAUCUGUGAUAGAAGGUGUACCCAACAUUCUCCUUUGGGUAUCCUAUGAAGACACAUUUCUUCGAUUUGGGUUCGAGCUUACCAGGUUGAAGCUUUUUCACAUAAGCAUCGCAGCCCCAAACUUUAAGAAACGACAACUUUGGUUUAUUGCCAAACCACAGUUCAUAAGGCGUCGUCUCAACGGAUUUUGAUGGUGUCCUAUUUAACGUGAAUGCGGCCGUCUCUAAAGCAUAACCCCAAAACAAUAGCGGUAAAUCAGUAAGAGACAUCAUAGAUCGCACCAGAUCUAGUAAAGUACGAUUACGACGUUCGGACACACCAUUACGCUUUGGUGUUCCGGGUGGCGUGAGUUGCGAAACUAUUCCGCAUUGUUUCAAAUGUAGACCAAACUCGUAACUCAAAUAUUCUCCUCCACGAUCAGAUCGUAGAAACUUUAUUUUCUUGUUACGAUGAUUUUCAACUUCACUCUAAAAUUCUUUGUACUUUUCAAAUGUUUCAGACUUAUGUUUCAUUAAGUAGAUAUACCCAUAUCUGCUUAAAUCAUUUGUGAAGGUGAGAAAAUAAUGAUACCCGCCGCAAGCUUCAACAUUCAUUGGACCACAUACAUCAGUAUGUAUGAUCUCCAACAAAUCAGUUGCUCGAUCCAUAAUUCCAUAGAACGGCAUUUUAGUCAUCUUGCCCAUGAGGCAUGGUUCACAAGUACCAAGUGAUUCAUAAUCAAGUGAUUCCAGAAGUCCAUCAGUAUGGAGUUUCUUCAUGCGCUUUACACCAAUAUGACCCAAACGACAGUGCCACAAAUAAGUUGCACUAUCAUUAUUAACUCUGCAUCUUUUGGCUUCAACAUUAUGAAUAUGUGUAUCACUACUAUCGAGAUUCAUCAAAAAUAGACCACUCUUCAAGGGUGCAUGACCAUAAAAGAUAUUACUCAUAUAAAUAGAACAACCAUUAUUCUCUGAUUUAAAUGAAUAACCGUCUCGCAUCAAACAAGACCCAGAUAUAAUGUUCAUGCUCAACGCUGGCACCAAAUAACAAUUAUUUAGGUACUAAUCCCGAAGGUAGAUGUAGAGGUAGCGUGCCGAAGGCGAUCACAUCAACUUUGGAACCAUUUCCCACGCGCAUCGUCACCUCGUCCUUAGCCAGUGUCCGCUUAAUCUGUAGUCCCUGUUCGAGUUGCAAAUAUUAGCAACAGAACCAUUAUCAAAUACCCAGGUGCUACUGCGAGUUCUGGUAAGGUACACAUCAAUAACAUGUAUAUCACAUAUACUUCCUUCUUAUCCGCCAAAUACUUGGGGCAGUUCCGCUUCCAGUGACCAGUCUGCUUGCAGUAGAAGCACUCAGUCUCAGGCUUAGGUCCAGACUUGGGUUUCUUCUCUUGAGCAGCAACUUGCUUGAUGUUCUUCUUGAAGUUCCCCUUCUUCUUCCUUUGCCUUUUUUCUUAAAACUGGUGGUCUUAUUGACCAUCAACACUUGAUGCUCCUUCUUGAUUUCUACCUCCGUAGCCUUUAGCAUUGCGAAGAGCUCGGGAAUCGUCUUAUCCAUCCCUUGCAUGUUAUAGUUCAUCACGAAGCUCUUGUAGCUUGGUGGCAGUGAUUGAAGAAUUCUGUCAAUGACGCUAUCGUCCGGAAGAUUAACUCCCAGUUGAAUCAAGUGAUUGUUAUACCCAGACAUUUUGAGUAUAUGCUCACUGACUGAACUAUUCUCCUCCAUCUUGCAGCUAUAGAACUUAUUGGAGACUUCAUAUCUCUCAAUCCCGGCAUUUGCUUGAAAUAUUAACUUCAACUCCUGGAACAUCUCAUAUGCUCCAUGACGUUCAAGACGUCGUUGAAGUCCCGGUUCUAAGCCGUAAAGCAUGGCACACUGAACUAUCGAGUAGUCAUCAACUUUGCUCUGCCAGACGUUCAUAACAUCUGGUGUUGCUCCAGCAGCAGGUUCGACACCUAGCGGUGCUUCCAGGACGUAAUUCUUCUGUGCAGCAAUGAGGAUAAUCCUCAAGCUACGGACCCAGUCUGUGUAAUUGCUACCAUCAUCUUUCAACUUUGCUUUCUCAAGGAACGCAUUAAAAUUCAACGGAACAACAGCACGGGCCAUCUAUCUACAAUCAACAUAGACAAGCAAGAUACUAUCAGGUACUAAGUUCAUGAUAAAUUUAAGUUCAAUUAAUCAUAUUACUUAAGAACUCCCACUUAGAUAGACAUCCCUCUAAUCCUCUAAGUGAUCACGUGAUCCAUAUCAACUAAACCAUAACCGAUCAUCACGUGAAAUGGAGUAGCUUUCAAUGGUGAACAUCACUAUGUUGAUCAUAUCUACUAUAUGAUUCACGCUCGACCUUUCGUUCUCAGUGUUCCGAGGCCAUAUCUGCAUAUGCUAGGCUCGUCAAGUUUAACCUGAGUAUUCUGCGUGUGCAAAACUGGCUUGCACCCGUUGUAGAUGGACGUAGAGCUUAUCACACCCGAUCAUCACGUGGUGUCUGGGCACGACGAACUUUGGCAACGGUGCAUACUCAGGGAGAACACUUUUAUCUUGAAAUUUAGUGAGAGAUCAUCUUAUAAUGCUACCGUCAAUCAAAGCAAGAUAAGAUGCAUAAAAGAUAAACAUCACAUGCAAUCAAUAUAAGUGAUAUGAUAUGGCCAUCAUCAUCUUGUGCUUGUGAUCUCCAUCUCCGAAGCACCGUCAUGAUCACCAUCGUCACCGGCGCGACACCUUGAUCUCCAUCGUAGCAUCGUUGUCGUCUCGCCAAUCUUAUGCUUCUACGACUAUCGCUACCGCUUAGUGAUAAAGUAAAGUAUUACAGGCCGAUUGCAUUGCAUAUAAUAAAGCGACAACCAUAUGGCUCCUGCCAGUUGCCGAUAACUCGGUUACAAAACAUGAUCAUCUCAUACAAUAAAAUUUAGCAUCAUGUCUUGACCAUAUCACAUCACAACAUGCCCUGCAAAAACAAGUUAGACGUCCUCUACUUUGUUGUUGCAAGUUUUACGUGGUUGCUACGAGCUUAGCAAGAACCGUUCUUACCUACGCAUCAAAACCAUAACGAUAGUUUGUCAAGUUGGUGUUGUUUUAACCUUCGCAAGGACCGGGCGUAGCCACACUCGGUUCAACUAAAGUUGGAGAAACUGACACCCGCCAGCCACCUAUGUGCAAAGCACGUCGGUAGAACCAGUCUCGCGUAAGCGUACGCGUAAUGUCGGUCCGGGCCGCUUCAUCCAACAAUACCGCCGAACAAAAGUAUGACAUGCUGGUAAGCAGUAUGACUUAUAUCGCCCACAACUCACUUGUGUUCUACUCGUGCAUAUGACAUCUACGCAUAAAACCAGGCUCGGAUGCCACUGUUGGGGAACGUAGUAAUUUCAAAAAAAAUACUACGCACACGUAAGAUCAUGGUGAUGCAUAGCAACGAGAGGGGAGAGUGUUGUCCGCGUACCCUCGUAGACCGAAAGCGGAAGCGUUAGCACAACGCGGUUGAUGUAGUCGUACGUCUUCACGAUCCGACCGAUCAAGUACCGAACGCACGACACCUCCGAGUUCAGCACACGUUCAGCCCGAUGACGUCCCUCGAACUCCGAUCCAGCCGAGUGUUGAGGGAGAGUUUCGUCAGCACGACGGCGUGGUGACAAUGAUGAUGUUCUACCGACGCAGGGCUUCGCCUAAGCACCGCUAUAGUAUUAUCGAGGUGGACUAUGGUGGAGGGGGCACCGCACACGGCUAAAAGAUCAAACGAUCAAUUGUUGUGUCUCUAGGGUGCCCCCCUGCCCCCGUAUAUAAAGGAGCAAGGGGGGAGGUGCGGCCGGCCAGGAGGGGGCGCGCCAGAAGGAGUCCUACUCCCACCGGGAGUAGGAGUCCCUCCCUUUUCCUUGUUGGAUUAGGAGUGGGGGGGAGGAAGAGGAGAAGAAGGAAAGGGGGGCGCCCCCCCUCCUUGUCCAAUUCGGACUAUAGGGGGAGGGGGGGCGCGGCCUGCCCUGGCCGCCCCUCCUCUUCUCCACUAAGGCCCACUAUGGCCCAUUAAACCCCCGGGGGGUUCCGGUAACCCCUCCGGUACUCCGGUAAAAUCCCGAUUUCAGCCGGAACACUUCCGAUAUCCAAAUAUAGGCUUCCAAUAUAUCCAUCUUUACCUCUCGACCAUUUCGAGACUCCUCGUCUUGUCCGUGGUCACAUCCGGGACUCCGAACAACCUUCGGUACAUCAAAACUCAUAAACUCAUAAUAUAACCGUCAUCGAAACUUUAAGCGUGCGGACCCGACGGGUUCGAGAACUAUGUAGACUUGACCGAGACACGUCUCCGGUCAAUAACCAAUAGCGGAACCUGGAUGCUCAUAUUGGCUCCCACAUAUUCUACGAAGAUCUUUAUCGGUCAAACCGCAUAACAACAUACGUUGUUCCCUUUGUCAUCGGUAUGUUACUUGCCCGAGAUUCGAUCGUCGGUAUCUCAAUACCUAGUUCAAUCUCGUUACCGGCAAGUCUCUUUACUCGUUCCGUAAUACAUCAUCCUGCAACUAACUCAUUAGUUGCAAUGCUUGCAAGGCUUAAGUGAUGUGCAUUACCGAGUGGGCCCAGAGAUACCUCUCUGACAAUCGGAGUGACAAAUCCUAAUCUCGAAUACGCCAACCCAACAAGUACCUUCGGAGACACCUGUAGAGCACCUUUAUAAUCACUCAGUUACGUUGUGACGUUUGGUAGCACACAAAGUGUUCCUCCGGUAAACGGGAGUUGCAUAAUCUCAUAGUCAUAGGAACAUGUAUAAGUCAUGAAGAAAGCAAUAGCAACAUACUAAACGAUCGAGUGCUAAGCUAACGGAAUGGGUCAAGUCAAUCACAUCAUUCUCCUAAUGAUGUGAUCCCGUUAAUCAAAUGACAACUCAUGUCUAUGGCUAGGAAACAUAACCAUCUUUGAUCAACGAGCUAGUCAAGUAGAGGCAUACUAGUGACACUCUGUUUGUCUAUGUAUUCACACAAGUAUUAUGUUUCCGGUUAAUACAAUUCUAGCAUGAAUAAUAAACAUUUAUCUUGAUAUAAGGAAAUAAAUAAUAACUUUAUUAUUGCCUCUAGGGCAUAUUUCCUUCAGUCUCCCACUUGCACUAGAGUCAAUAAUCUAGAUUACACAGUAAUGAUUCUAACACCCAUGGAGUCUUGGUGCUGAUCAUGUUUUGCUCAUGGAAGAGGCUUAGUCAAUGGGUCUGCAACAUUCAGAUCCGUAUGUAUCUUGCAAAUUCCUAUGUCUCCCACCUGUACUAAAUCCCGGAUGGAAUUGAAGCGUCUCUUGAUGUGCUCUGUUCUCUUGUGAAAUCUGGAUUCCUUCGCCAAGGCAAUUGCACCAGUAUUGUCACAAAAGAUUUUCAUUGGAUCCGAUGCACUAGGUAUGACACCUAGACCGAUGCACUAGGUAUGACACCUAGAUCGGAUAUGAACUCCUUCAUCCAGACUCCUUCAUUUGCUGCUUCCGAAGCAGCUAUGUACUCCGCUUCACACGUAGAUCCCGCCACGAUGCUUUGUUUAGAACUGCACCAACUGACAGCUCCACCGUUCAAUGUAAACACGUAUCCGGUUUGCGAUUUAGAAUCGUCCGGAUCAGUGUCAAAGUUUGCAUCAACGUAACCAUUUACGAUGAGCUCUUUGUCACCUCCAUAAACGAGAAACAUAUCCUUAGUCCUUUUCAGGUAUUUCAGGAUGUUCUUGACCGCUGUCCAGUGAUCCACUCCUGGAUUACUUUGGUACCUCCCUGCCAAACUUAUAGCAAGGCACACAUCAGGUGAAAUACACCAUCCGGUGAACCAAAAUAAAACAAACACGUGGGAGUUUAAGAAAGCGAAGGACAUGUCAUGGUCCGCCAACAUGGCUUUCGAAUCGAUCAAAUAACAUAAAAAGGAAACGGGCAAUACUACAAACUACUUCCUAAAAUCAGUGUUGUGGUUUUAGUUCAAAUCAUGACACUUAUUUUGGAACGGGGGGAGUAUAUUAUCAAUGACAUAUGGUUAAACAACGCCAAAGAUCCAGUAAAAACAAUUAAGCAUAUCGAAAUCGACUCAUAGCAUUUUCCUUUUUCUUUUUCGCAUUUAUGCUUUUUUGGGGAAACUUUCUCAACUUUAUUCAUUUGGAAUGUUCAUAGGUAUCAUUGUAAGGUCAUGAGCUUCAAAACUUCUGUUGCUGUGUUCAUGGGCACUGAUCUACAGACCUGAAACUCAUUCCUUGUGGCACUGAUCUCACAAAUGAUGGCCCCCCUGAACCUUCUUCAAUAUCUUUCACAAUUGACAAACAAUCAGCAACAAAUAACCUUCAAACAAGAAGAUCAGCGGCCAAUGCCUGUGCUUUCUUGCAUGUCAGAGUUUCCAUAAUUGUCGGAUCAACCAUUUGAGAAAACACCACAACCGACGAACCAAGGAACGCUCCGGUAUCGCUGCAGCUAACAACUCCCACUGCACCGAACUGACAAUUCCUCUAUGUGAUUGAUACUACUCUGGUUGCAUUUUUUUUAGAAUUACUACUCUAGUUGCAUGGAAAUCAGCUCAGUAGCAUUUUUACUUUAUUUUUUUCCUUGGCCCAUUAGUUUUUACACACACGAACGGCCUUGGGCCUAUUAUUUACAUGGCUAGCUGUACAGAUGGUGCAUUUCCAUGAGCCCAAGUAGCAUGCUCAUGUUUUGCGGCUGCUGCUGCUGCUGUAGACCGGUGCCAUUAAAUUUCCAGCAGCAUAAUUUCAAGCUUGCUCUUUUGUUCAUGUGUUCGACAAAACCGUCUGUUCAUGUUUUCAAGCUUGCUCUUUUGUCCAUGUAAAACCGUCGUUUGAAUGUACCGGCGCACAACAAACUAUAUAUGCUGUUAGUCAGAUCUAUCACCGUGGUGUAGUCUCAGAUCAUAUCUGGGUGUACUGAUGCUACUAUCCGAAUAUAUCUGUUGGUGAAAUGUCUUCCCUUUGUGCGGUUAUGUGCCGGCUUUUCGUAAAACAAGAGCGAAAAUGGGAAGAGUUCAUUUAACGGAAAACUCUGUUGGUAUCUGAAGGGAAGAGUUUAUCUGAAAAUGUGCCAACUAUAUUAUGAUAAUCGUUGGCCUGCAAUCAAGCUCUGCAUGCGUUCACAUGAUGACUUCUUUUCUUGUGGAUCAGUGACUUAAGCAUAUAUAAGUUAUAAAAAUUUCCAGCUUGUAAUGUUAUUUUAAAAGUGUUGGACCAAAUUGUCAUGUAGGUUUCGUGGUGUAGUUGGUUAUCACGUCAGUCUAACACACUGAAGGUCUCCGGUUCGAACCCGGGCGAAGCCAUCAAAUUUAUUUUUCCUUUUUUUUCUCGCAUUUUCCAAUGAGUAAAAAAAAGAAAAAAAACAAAUUGGCCCAUACAGGUCUCGAACCUGUGACCUUCGCGUUAUUAGCACGACGCUCUAACCAGCUGAGCUAAUAGGCCUCUUCGUGAUUUGCACGUUUUCUUCCCUCUUCUAACUAUUGUUUUGCGACCAUAUGAUAUACGAUCGCCCGAAAGGCUAUAUAUUAUAUAACCACAAGGGAAAACAGUUACUAAAGCCACGACAAAAAUUAUGGAACGGAGAGGGUGCUGGUUAAAUUGAUCACUGGCCGAGUUCAUGCCCAUCAAUCAUAUCUUUACUAUUACUAUCUCCGUUUUUAUUUACUCUGCAUAUUAUUUUGCCUAAAAUAAAACUUUAUAAAUUUUGAUCAAGCUUAUGAAAUACUUAUUAACAUAUGCAAUACCAAACCAAUACUAUUAGAUUAAACAUUGAUUAUAUUUUUUACAUCAUAUAUACUAUUUGAACCCGGGCGAAGCCAACAAAUCUUUUUUUAUUUUUCAAUUUUUUUCUACUGUGUAAAAAAUACAAAGAAAAUAUAAUGGCCCAUACAGGUCUCGAACCUGUGACCUUCGCGUUAUUAGCACGACGCUCUAACCAACUGAGCUAAUAGGCCUUUUGCAAGUUUGGAAAGAGUUACCCACUAUACUUCCGAAAACAGAAUAAGACUUUUGGUGAGAGGAAAAGAGUAAGAAGAUCAAAAAAAUUCCUGGCGUAACAAAAAAUGUAUAAUCUGUCUGGAAAAAACUAGACAUAAAAAAUACAUGUUUUCAAAAAUGUUAAUCGUGUAUUUGUAAAUUUUUGAAGGUGUAUAUAAAAACUGUUCCUGAUGUAUACAGAAAUGGUACAAUGUUUAUGGAAAAAGGUAGACAUAAAAAAAUAUUAAUUUUUUAAAUAUGAUGCGCAUGUGUUUGGAAAAUGCUAAUCCUGUAUGUAAAAUGCUAAUCCUGUAUAUAAAAAAUGUUCCUGAUGUAUAUAAAUUGUUUUGAAUGUGUGUUUAAAAGGAUGAGCUCGAAAUAUAUGCUUGAAAACAAUAUUAACCAUGUAUUUCAAAAAAGUUCAACUUGUAGAUGAUUUAUUUAUGUUUAUGAAAAAUGUUUCAUGUAACUUGAUUUUUUUAAUGUUUAUAAAAAUAUAUUCCCGUUCUAUAAGGAAAGGGAAUGAAAAACCAAUAAUAAUCAACAAAAUAGAAAAAACCAAGAAAACAAAUUAAAACCGUUGCGAAAGAAUGAAAACAGUAAAAACCCUAGAAAGAAUAAAAGAAAAACGUAGGAACCCGAUGAAAACCGAGAAAUAAACAAAUAAAUUCGAAGAAAAAUAAAGAAAACAGGAAACAAAAUAAGAACAUUGAAAAGGGAGAAAGAAACAAAGAAACCAAACAAAGUCGGAGAGAAAAGAAAGAAAAGAAAAAAUGCAAAGAACAAGAAAGAAACAGGAAAACCAGGUGAAAAACAAAAAAAAACUGAAAAACCCAAAAACCGAUGAAGAAACAAAUAACCAAGAGAAACAAGAAAGACAAAAAGCGAGAGGAAACCGAAGCGAACAGCAUACUGGCGGCUAGCAAGUGAGGAAUGCACGAAUAUUGGCUGGCGUAGGUCGCAGGAAAUCCAUCGGGCGAGACUUGUUUGCAUCUCUCGUAGAGCGACAUAUAGGUCUCGUGGUUCUAUAUUGCCUUUUUUUAGACAAUUCAUCGAAGUUUUAUUAAUUUGUCACAAUAUUUACAUCAACGAAAGAAAGAUUUCUAGGAUGAUCUAAUCAGACAUGGCGGCCCCCCAAAGGUAAGAGCAUGCUUCACUAAAUUGUGAGCUUCAAAAUUUGAGCUCCUACAUUCAUCAACUAUUUUACAAGAAGUAAAGGAAGCAGAGUAGAUAAUGAUCUCCCGAAUUACUGCUCCAUAACUUGCCAGAUUUCGCUGUUGAAUGUCAUCGAACACCACCUUGCAAUCUGAUGCAAUAUAUAUUCUUUGUAUAUAAAGAUCAUCCGCUAGGGCCAUGUGACGCCCGGAUAGUUAAGCUACAGUAACCCUCUGCUAAUUAUGCCACGUCACCUCGGUUAUUUUAGAUAAACUCGCGUUGAUUCGAAACCGAUUCUAAUUCAAUUUCAAAACCAAGGUAAACAACAAAAAUUUUCAAACAUUGAAAUUAAAAUGUUCGGGUCGUGCCAGAUAAUGCAUAGGUGAUUAUGGUGGUGAAACCAAACUUUUAUGAAAUGCUUAACUGCACUAAAAUAAUUUAAAUAGUAGCAAACCUAAUUAUUUAAAUGCCUUUACUAAUUAAUAAAUUAUCAAACUAAAUUAUUUGGGAACUAGACUUUUUUUGACAGUGGACUAAACUGAAAUACUAAAUUAAAUGCUAAGUAUAUAUUUUACAGAAACUAAAAUAAUAGGAAACAAAGAUAAAACAAAAAUAAGAGAAAACAGUAAAAAAGAAAAAGGGCAAGGCAAAAAAAAAACACAACCCACCCCNNNNNNNNNNNNNNNNNNNNNNNNNNNNNNNNNNNNNNNNNNNNNNNNNNNNNNNNNNNNNNNNNNNNNNNNNNNNNNNNNNNNNNNNNNNNNNNNNNNNNNNNNNNNNNNNNNNNNNNNNNNNNNNNNNNNNNNNNNNNNNNNNNNNNNNNNNNNNNNNNNNNNNNNNNNNNNNNNNNNNNNNNNNNNNNNNNNNNNNNNNNNNNNNNNNNNNNNNNNNNNNNNNNNNNNNNNNNNNNNNNNNNNNNNNNNNNNNNNNNNNNNNNNNNNNNNNNNNNNNNNNNNNNNNNNNNNNNNNNNNNNNNNNNNNNNNNNNNNNNNNNNNNNNNNNNNNNNNNNNNNNNNNNNNNNNNNNNNNNNNNNNNNNNNNNNNNNNNNNNNNNNNNNNNNNNNNNNNNNNNNNNNNNNNNNNNNNNNNNNNNNNNNNNNNNNNNNNNNNNNNNNNNNNNNNNNNNNNNNNNNNNNNNNNNNNNNNNNNNNNNNNNNNNNNNNNNNNNNNNNNNNNNNNNNNNNNNNNNNNNNNNNNNNNNNNNNNNNNNNNNNNNNNNNNNNNNNNNNNNNNNNNNNNNNNNNNNNNNNNNNNNNNNNNNNNNNNNNNNNNNNNNNNNNNNNNNNNNNNNNNNNNNNNNNNNNNNNNNNNNNNNNNNNNNNNNNNNNNNNNNNNNNNNNNNNNNNNNNNNNNNNNNNNNNNNNNNNNNNNNNNNNNNNNNNNNNNNNNNNNNNNNNNNNNNNNNNNNNNNNNNNNNNNNNNNNNNNNNNNNNNNNNNNNNNNNNNNNNNNNNNNNNNNNNNNNNNNNNNNNNNNNNNNNNNNNNNNNNNNNNNNNNNNNNNNNNNNNNNNNNNNNNNNNNNNNNNNNNNNNNNNNNNNNNNNNNNNNNNNNNNNNNNNNNNNNNNNNNNNNNNNNNNNNNNNNNNNNNNNNNNNNNNNNNNNNNNNNNNNNNNNNNNNNNNNNNNNNNNNNNNNNNNNNNNNNNNNNNNNNNNNNNNNNNNNNNNNNNNNNNNNNNNNNNNNNNNNNNNNNNNNNNNNNNNNNNNNNNNNNNNNNNNNNNNNNNNNNNNNNNNNNNNNNNNNNNNNNNNNNNNNNNNNNNNNNNNNNNNNNNNNNNNNNNNNNNNNNNNNNNNNNNNNNNNNNNNNNNNNNNNNNNNNNNNNNNNNNNNNNNNNNNNNNNNNNNNNNNNNNNNNNNNNNNNNNNNNNNNNNGGCCGCCGCAACCGCCGCCUGGGCCGCGCCUGACCAGGCUCGGGCGCCCACGCCCGUGCGCCCAGCGCCCGUAAACCGCCACCCGUGCGCCCGCUAUGCCCUCCCUGUGCCUAUGACUAGUGGGCCCGGCCCCAGAAAGUUUUUUUAAAAAGGAAUUAAAAAUAAUAAUAAUAAAUAAAAUUAAUUAAUUAGUUUAAUUAGUGAUCUAAUUAAUUAGUUAACUCUGUUUAGUAAUCUAAUUAAUUAGUUAGUUUAAUUAAACAAUAAUUAGAUUAGUUAAACCCUAAUUAGAUUAAACAGGGUAUGACAGCUGGGACCCACACGUCAGUUUGACCCAGUCAACGCCCUGUUGACUGCUGACAUCAGCAUACACUAUUCUGGAUAAUGUUAAUUUAAAAUAAUUAAAUAAACCCUCUCUGCUCCCGAUCUGAACUCACCGCCAGCCGCCUCCCGCCUGCCUCGCCGGUUAAUCGCCGUCGACGCCUCCCGCCUGGAUCCGUGCCUCGCCCUGCCCUUGGCGGCACGCUGCCUGCGCGGUCCACCGCGGCCAGCCGCCCAGUCCGCAGACCGGUCCUGCCCGGUGGCCGCCGGUGACCCUGCCCUGCACUACAGCAGCUAGCCUUCCCACUGUCCCACGACUAAACACAGCACACACGUACGGUUAUCCCCAUUCCCCAAUUUUCCCAAUUUCUGAUUCAACCCUUAUGUUGAUCGAUUGAUUUUCUGUUGUUCAAUUAUGAUUGACACUUGAUAGAACUGCUAGAAUUUUUUUCUUAUAGAAUUGUUGAAGAAUUCGUAUGUACUUCUGUAUUUAAAGCAGCGGCUUAAUUGAGAAUUUUAAUGGGUCCGUAAGAACGUAUUGAUUUAUUUAUAUGUGCUAUUGGUAAAUUAAUUAGAACGUUCACAUGUCAUAUUGAUUUAUUUAUGUGUGUUUUAAAUUCCUAGAUCCGCCACUGUCUCAAGGAGCAGGCUAGUCAGCAGCCAGCAGCGAGGCACAGAGGCAGGCGGCUCGCCGGUUUAGAUAUCCACUACGCGCUCGCAGCUUCUGCCCCGCAAGCUCGCGCUUCAGCAGAGAUGCAGAGGCCGGUGGAUUUCAAGCUCCCCCACUUUUUCAACUACCCGCCCUACUUCACGUAAUCUCUCUCCUCCCCCCUCCUCCAGCAUUAGUGUCACAUGUUUGAACAUUUUGCAUGAUUAGCGGUUCUGCAGUAUGUAUAGCCGUAUAUGAGUAGAAGAUUCUUACUCGGUGCCUGGUGAAAAAAUUGGGCACUUAACUUCUGCUCCAAGUGCUACGUUAGCAAUGAAAUUACUUUUCAGUGAACGGAAACACUAACGCCCACACGUGUGGCACUUCUUCAACUUGCCCACACGCCUGGAUCAUCGUCCACUUGACACAAAAAGGUGGAUUUGGUGUGCCACGUAUGACCGGGCUGGUGUGUAGGCGUUGGAGGGUUUGCCCACACGCCCCGCAUCACGCUGUUUGCCAGCUGCGUGUGUAGGCGAACUAGUUUCUGCCCACACAACCACCACCUAGUCCAUGCGCGUGUGGGCGAACUGCUUUUCGCCACACGACGACUCCUACGUUGUGGAUGGCAACUGCAGUUACGCGAACGUGGCAACUUGGUACACACACAUGGCAACUGUGAUUCUUUGCUAGACGGCAACUGCAGUUGCGCGUACGUGGCAACCAGACACACAUGGCAACUGUGAUUAACCAUACAUGGCAACUAUGGUUGGACCACACGUGACAACUAGGUAAACACACAUGGCAACUACUGUUUGACCAUAUGUGGCAAGUAGUUAAUCACACAAGGCAACUACGGUUUGAUUACACGCGGCAACUACCAUAAAUUAGACAUGGCUACUAUAGUUAACCCAAACAGAUAGAGUUGCCAUGCUUUUACAACUACACUUGCCAUCCCGAAUAACUACAUCUGCCAUCCCGGAUGGCAACUAAAUCGUCAUCCGUGGGUACCUAAUGUAGCUGCGCCAGGACGUGUGGGCAUUCUUGCUUCGUGCCACAUGCGCGAGGUGGAGAUGAGUAGUACUUGUUAGGCGUGUGGCACGAAAUAGCCGCGCCCACACGUGUGGGCAAUUCUAAUGGACGCUCACACACAGCCCGUAUGGGCUGCCUCGUGCUCACGCCACACACGAUGUGUGGGCGGAUGCCUAAUAUACCACACGUGUGGCAGUUAUCGGCGUCCUUCAGUAAAUUAUUUGUUUGACAAUGAGUUUACUGGACAAAUAAAGUGGUUCGUGAUUUUGGUAUAUUCUUGCCCUUUUGUUAGUUAAACUUAUUUAUUACUACUUGGGAUAUAUCGUAUAAUCAUGUGAGUACAUUCUAAAUCAUGUAAAUUUCCUUUAAUCUCUUAUUCCUUGUUUUUUUUUCUGAGCUAGCUUGUCAAUAAGGCAAAGAAUGGCAUUUUAUUGAUUCAAAAUGAAAAACACGGGGUGGUUAAUGUUAUUUUGUAAGUGAAGAACUGAAUAUGUAUGAAGGAUUUGUACAUCAGGAUCACUAAAGGAAUUAUGUUAGUAAGCUUAAGCACAGGAACGGAGCCAGCAAUCUUACUAAAGGGGGCCAAUGGAAGAUAUAAAAUGUUAAGCGGGGCCAAACAUAUAAAUUUAAAGCACUUUAAACUAGCAAUCUAAGGCUGUUUUCAGAAGAAGAAAAAAGGUUACCAUGGGGGGAGACAUGGCCCCAACUUGCCCCCCACUGGCUCCUUCCCUGCUUAAGCACUUGUUUCUUCAAAAUCUGCCUUUCUUAAAACUCAAAUGUCUUUCAUCACAAAUCUCUACUUUAUAGCAUCCCAAAAUUAUAACACAGUAUCUGGUUCAGAGUGUCUGAGACCUGGCAUCUUUGUUUCAUAUCCCAACAGUAUGUGUAACAGCUGAAGUAUUUCCUUGCUUUACUAAUUCUUACGUUUGGUUGAGUAAUGUAACGGAAUGUAUGUUGUCUUAAAACCAACUCUGAAAACUUCUGUUAAACACUUAUUUUGAUAUGUACGAUAAUAAUAUCAUGACAACAUUUGUUCCCAGUUUGCAGCCUGUGAGAGAAACACGUGAAAAACAAGUGCAGCUAUGGAAAGAGCUGAUACUUGAUUACUGUAGAAGUCAAAAGAUGUAUAUAAUCUCCCUGGAAGAAGAUUUUCCAUUGUUCUCCAAUCCAAAGAUUGAGAGUAAGUUGUAUUUAUCUGAACCUUGUGUUUUGACUACUACUCUUCUGCAGUUCAGCAAAAAUAUGUCUUACUGUGUGGAAAAUGUAUGUCAUAGUGAUCUGGUAUGAUGGUAAUGUGUUCCUAGGGCCUACCAUGGAGCCUUUUGAGCAUGGCGGACUAGUGUGUACAUGAAAAUUUUAUUUACUCGACUAGUUUAUUAUGCAUUUGGACAUUUCUAUUGACGUUGCACUGAACUUACAUGUUUUAUAUUAUUCAGGAUCUCUAAGCUAUGAAGCAAAGGAAGCAUUCCUUGCAGCUCUUGUUAGUGAAGGUUUAUUCUGCACAACAUGAAAUCUUUUGCUUAUUGUUUUAGCUGUGUGUAGUUUUGUUUUUCUAGAUGAGGGAUGCUUUUAUUACCCCUGGCCUGUGUUUAGUUUUGUGUUUUGACACUACUUAAAGCCAAGUUCAAACUGCAGGUCGCGCAGAGUGGAUUGACAAAGGUCACAAGAAGUGUCUCAUCCUUUGGCUGCGGAUUCAAGAUUGGGCUAACUACAUAUUAGACUUUGUAAGACUUUGUAUUAUUUUAAACAUGUUCCUUCCAAAGCUAUCAGUUUAUCAAUGAAUAGUGUCAGUGACUUAAUAUUUGUUUCUGUGUUAUGCUUGUAGGUUAAGGAAAAUGGGUUGGAAGUAACAACAAUUGAAGAUAUACGCUCUGGAAUUGAAACACAUGGGACCGGUAAGUAUACAAACUUGAUGGUGAUGAGAUUAGAUUUACCAUUUUCAAUAUUUUUGUAACGCUUAUUUUUCUUGCUUGAUGAAAAUAAUUUGCGGUAGAAACGGUAGUAUACAUAUAGGAUUUAGACUUAGCAGUUGGAUAAUAUUUUUAUGUUUACCGAACUUGUGAUGUGGAUUUGGCAUUAUUGUAGCCGCCACCAGCCUCAGGAGGAGCCAUCUAGCUAAGCCUAGUCUUAGUGAUAAGUUUUUUUUUCUGAUUCCCUGGUUGGUUAAUUUGGACAAGACUAUUGGAAUUAUGCAGUUACAGUUUUCCUUUUAGGGAUGACUGUUCUAUAAAGCUAGGGAUAAUCUGUGUUAUACGAAGAAUAAAUAAACCAGAGGUUAUCCUCCAAAAACCCUAUUCCUGCUUGUAUCACGCCACGAUGCAACCGAAGCUUAUGCCAUGACAUAAGUUGGCGGUGGUGCCUCGCCAGUAAUGCAUAGGCCAUACAAAGUAAUACAUAGCAUAGGCCAUGCCUGCCCCUUGCUCAUAAUAAAUAAAAGUUGUCUAAUGGUAUUAAUUGUGGCUAGUUUGAAUCCUCAUUUUAUCCUGUGGCAUGUUUUGCAGAACUUGCUGGAAUUGAUCGCGGUGUCCUGAUGUGAGCUUUGAGGCUGUUGGAACAAAAGGGAAAGGCGGUUAUCUUUAAGGGCACUUCAGCGGACGAUGAAGGCGUCAAAUUUUCUGUUUAAACUUUGUGCCAACUAACUGAUGGAUAAUAAUCUUGAUGGGUGUCCUGGAACAUGAUACAUCCCCUCUUAUCUGUACGUAUGUACGUACGUACACUGAUGACAUCCUUCUGUUCGGCAUCGUUCAAAUGUCAGUUAGUAUUUAUUUCUCGUCCAGGACUGUUGUAAUUAGCCAGCCUUUGAUUCAUCUGUUCAGCAGCAUAUAUACCUAUAAAAUCGCAUUCCUAUAUGUUCAGAACUAUGCAUUGUUUGAUAUAUUAGGGCUUGUUCCUAUUUGAGCAAAUAAGCGAAACUUAUCAAGAAAGCAUGCUUCAUAUGUGGAAUCUGGGAAUUUGUGUCAAUUUAUUGCACAUUGCAGUUCAAUUGAGGCCGAUUAUUGUGACCACCUCUUUUGAACCGAUUCUCCCCUCUCUAUCUAACACUGAACCUUAGUGCAGGUCUCAUUUCUUUCUUGCUUGAUUCAAGCAAUGAUACAUUGUUGUCUAGAACACUGGCUGUAUAAAAUCUGUUAAUGAGGCCAGGUGCAGCCCCUUUCUUAUUCUGCACCAAAAAAUUGAAAAGAAAAGAAAAAUAUUAAGUUGUUGCUUAUAGUUCUACUCCCUCCGUUCGUAAAUAUUUGUCUUUCUAGAGAUUUCAACAAGUCUUUCUAGAGAUUUCAACAAAUGACUACAUAUGAAGCAAAGUGAGUGAAUCCAUACUCUAAAAUAUGUCUACAUACAUUCGUAUGUUGUAGUCCAUUUGAAAUGUUUAGAAAGACAAAUAUUUGGGAACGGAGGGAGUAGAUAAGUUGUAUAUAUGUAGAAAAUAUCUCACCCAUGUAAUAUUUCAUCACCCUAUGUUUCUAUACUCGCGUGGACAUCUCAUUUCAACAUGAUGAUCCCUGAACUUGAGAAUCGCGUAUUGUAUUGAUGCCACUAUGUGAAUAAGUUUGUUGGCUGUGGAGUUUUGGCUUCUCUGUGUGCCCAUUAUGUGUGGGCUUUUGAAGAAAAAGAAUACAUCCGUUGAAAAUUAGUUCAUAUGUCUGUCUGUGUGCCAGAAAAUUAAUAUCAGGUGGCUAUUAUUUAAGCUUAGGUUAGCUCUAUAUGUUCCACCAAAAAUAAAUAUGUGCACUCGAAGGUUUCGUGGUGUAGUUGGUUAUCACGUCAGUCUAACACACUGAAGGUCUCCGGUUCGAACCCGGGCGAAGCCAUCCUUUUUCUUUUGUUUUUUCGCAUUUUUCGUUGUGCAUUUUCAAAAAUGUAAAAGAUUAAUGGCCCAUACAGGUCUCGAACCUGUGACCUUCGCGUUAUUAGCACGACGCUCUAACCAGCUGAGCUAAUAGGCCUCUUGGUGAUUUGCACGUUUUCUUCCCUCUAUAUAUGAUGUACGAUCACCAGAAAGGCUAUAUAUUAUAUAACCACAAGGGAAAACAGUUACUAAAGCCACGACAAGAAUUAUGGAACGGAGCCCAUCAAUCAUAUCUUUACUAUUACUAUCUCCGUUUUUAUUUACUCUGCAUAUUAUUUUGCCUAAAAUAAAACUUUAUAAAUUUUGAUCAAGCUUAUGAAAUACUUAUUAACAUAUGCAAUACCAAACCAAUACUAUUAGAUUCAACAUUGAUUAUAUUUUUUACAUCAUAUAUACUAUUUGUUAUUGUAAAUGUUAUUGAAUACGUAUUACCGCACUCCCAAUGCAUUGUCUCUUAAUGCGUCGUCCUUGGAAGUAAUCGUUUUCAGAUACAACCACUUCAAUGCAUUGUCUCUUCAUGUCGUAUCUAAAUAAUAUUGCAUCUUUGUUAAUUUAGGGUUGGGCAGUGGAUGAAAUGGUUACUUUCCUAUUUCUCGAGGAACUUUCGGUUGUUGAAAUUUUCAUGUGAAGAUAAAUAUAGUAGUGGGGAUGAACUUCUUAUGUAUAUAGGAUAGGAUGAUGAUGAUGAUGAUGAGUUAUUAUAUCAUUGGGUGAAAUAACUGUGGAUUAGUUUCAAGUGGAUGGAUCCUAAGUGACCAAGUCACUUGAAACUAAUCGGUUCUUUCACCUAGUGAUUUAAUAACUCAUUAUAAUGUAAAAAAAUCUCUAAAUUGCUACUGUAUGAAAAUUUGUAUAAAGGUGUAUGAAUACGACAUAAAAAAUAGAAUACGGAAUAAUAAUAGUAGCGCGGGCUGUGUGACGCGCUACUACUAAUUACCAGUAGCGCUUUUUGCAGGAAGCGCUACUAAUAAGUAGAUAUAGCAGUAGCGCGGGUAAACAAACUCUACUGCUAACCUUUAGCUGUAGCGCCGUAGCAGUAUCGCAGUCACCCGCGCUAUUGCUAGGCAAAAAACCCGGCUACUGCUAGGCUUUUUCCUAGUAGUAAUACAAUACAUGCCUUAUCACCCCUCCUGUCACAAAGCAAGGUCACGACAAGAUUGAACCUACUACCAAGCACCACUCCCACUAGAAGAUAAAUCAAUCUACUUGGCCAAAGAAGACGGAUAGAUCAGAGAGAAAUACAAGGCUACAAAAUUAUGCAAUCAAAAGAGAUCUCUAAGGACUCACAAUUUGAUCAUGAACCCACAAUUCAUCAGAUCCCAACAAACGCACCACAAAAGUUACAUUGAAUUGAUCUCAGAGAUCAUUGUAUUGAGGAUCAAACAAGAGAGAUAGAUAGAUAGAUAGAGAUAGAGAGAGAGAGAGAGAGAGAAGGCCAUCUAGCUACUGCUAUGGAUCUGUUAGGUGCUGCGGGAACUACUCACACAUCAUCAUGGAAGCAGCAAGGUUGAUGAAGAUUUCCUUUCCAAUGGUUUACCCCUCCCCCCCCCUCCCGAUCUGGUGGAGUACCAGAAAAUGCCUCCUGAUGGGAUUGCUUCGGAACAGAGGCUUGCAGCGGGAAAAUAAUUGUUUCGGGUCUCAUUUCGGGGGUUUCAGAAUAUACAGGAAUUUAUAGGCCAAGAAUUAUGGCAAACGGAGUCACGAGGAGCCCACAAGCCAGGGUGGCGCGCCCUAUCCCCCAGGGCACGCCGCUGCCUUGUGGCCACCUCGUGGGUCUUCUGGUCCUCUCCCGAAAUUUUCAGGGUCCCUUUUUGUCAACAAAAAAGUCAAACAUUUCGUCGUGUUUGGACUUUUGUAGGUAUGGACUUCCUGAAAAAAACAUGCAGAAAACAGGAACUGGCACUGCGCACUAAGGUUAGUCCAUAAAAAUAAUAUAAAAUGACAUAUAAAGCAUACAAAAGUGAUAAUGUAAUAGCAUGAAACAAUCAAAAAUUAUAACGUUGGAGACGUAUCAGCAUCCCUAAGCUUAAUUCAUGCUCGUCCUUGAGUAGGUAAAUAAUAAAAGUAGAAUUUUUGAUGUGAAAUGCUAUCCAACAUGUUAUUAAUCAUGUAAUCAUUUGCGGUAUGAAUAUUGCAAAGCCAGUGGUUUAAGGCAUUAGUCUAUUAGUUUGAUAUCAAAACGAUAAUAUGCAAGAAUGCUAGAAAACAAUCACUGCCUUUCAAAAUAGAAAAUGCUACCUAAACACUUAAUUGUGUAAGCAUGGCAUAGCUCGGUCUUCUUGACAUAAAGUAUCUAUCAUGAACACCCCGGCGCCAAACCAAGCUCUUUUUUACUUUUUUUUUUAAAUUUUACUGCUGAUCAUGAAGCAUUUCAGCUCGGAGCAGAUACUCCGCGUCCCUUAGUUAUACAAUAGUGCUCCUAGAUUAGAGCUAAACCAUGCUAAAACUACUGAUCAUCGAAUGAGAGGUUGAUGAAUGCUGCCUUGCGGAGCCCGGCGCCUCAUGGUCGUGGGUUGCCUUCGAAUCCACGGGUGUUCAAAACAUUGCAGUAGUGUUUUUGGCUCAUCAAUGAUGUUUUUUAUUGAGAUGUUUUGUACUUCUGAUGAACUUUUAUAUUAUAAAAGUUCAUCAGAAAUACAAAACAUCUCAACCAUAAUAAUAAAAAUUACCGAGAUUUCGAGUCCACCGAACAAGCACUAUUGCCGCCAAAAUGGGCCGCCGACGCACCACUGUCGCCACACCCCUACCGGAGCCGUCUUUGACUUUCUGGGUGAAAACUUGGAAAUCUUCGUGCACAUGCCCCUAAGGACCAGCGCCCUGGAGCCGCAGUGGUCUUCUUUAGACUUUUGCAUAGAUCUGAAGUAGCUGACACCAAAUCUCGCCACACGACGAGAAAUCCUAACCUCACCGCCCAAAGGAGAUGGCAUGAAUCUAUGCCGGAGCUCCAUCGACUAUGCCCAAAUGGAAGAACGGAGUUGCAUCGACUGUGUCCAAACUAACGAACUCAAUGAGGAUCAAAGCCCAGAAGACAAACUCAAAGAAGAAGCAUUUGUACCCGCGAGGACUAAAAAAACUCUAACCUAAACUACUAACCGGGGCAGAGGCGCGGGAUUCUCCUCCCCGUCACCGACCACCAGAGCCGCAUGCAGAGGGGAGGCGGGCCCACAGACUCUCCGGUGAAGUCUGGAGGGGAAAUUUUGCCCUAGCCGUGUUAGCGUCUUUAGAGUUUUUUCCCCUACGUUUUUUCUUGAGCUACUCUUUUAUGGUGCGCCUGAAUUUCUCUUUUCUCGUUUUUCGUACUAAAUUAAUGAAUUGACUUUCAGUGGUGCAACGUGCAUGCUCAGGCACAUUAAUGCCACCGGCCGAUCGUUUGUCAAAAAAUAAAAUAAAAGAAGAAUGCCACGGGCCGAUCUGCAAAAUGAAAACAAAAGUAGAUAAUUCGUCCAUCGUCCGUAUGAUCCGUUCCUGCAUGCUUGCAUAUCCAACCCGCAAGAAACUCAUCGUUAUCCAUCAGGAUCGAUCGAUCAGUUAGCUCUAACAACUAGCGAUUAUCUAUCUAACCCGCAGCUAUAAAUAUGCACCAUCCGCAUCCACUUCCUCCAUCCCAUUCACAUCGAUCUUUCUCCUCGCCCACGUAGUACAAUCUCAUCUUGACAACCAUGGUGCAGCGCACUUCCAACGCCGAGGUCAUGUCGAUGGACCUGUCGCCCAAGAAGCCCGCCAAGGCCUACGGCAGCGACGGCGGCGCCUACUACGACUGGUCGCCGGCCGACCUGCCCAUGCUCGGCGCGGCCUCCAUCGGCGCCGCCAAGCUGCAUCUCUUCGCCGGCGGGCUCGCGCUCCCCAGCUACUCCGACUCGGCCAAGAUCGCCUACGUGCUCCAGGGCGCCGGCGCCUGCGGCCUCGUCCUCCCCGAGGCGGCCAGCGAGAAGGUGAUCCCCGUCAAGGAGGGCGACACCCUGGCGCUCCCCUUCGGCGCCGUCACCUGGUGGCACAACGCCGAGGGCGCCUCCGCGGAGAUGGUCGUGCUCUUCCUCGGUGACACCUCCAAGGGCCACACUCCCGGCCGCUUCACCAACUUCCAGCUCACCGGCGCCGCCGGCAUUUUCACGGGCUUCUCCACCGAGUUCGUCGCGCGCGCCUGGGACCUCGACCAGGACGCCGCCGCCAAGAUCGUCUCCACCCAGCCUGGCUCCGGCGUCGUCAAGAUCGCCGCGGGGCACCGCAUGCCGGAGCCGCGCGUCGAGGACCGCCAGGGCGUCGUGCUCAACUGCCUCGAGGCGCCGCUGGACGUGGACAUCCCGGGCGGCGGCCGCGUGGUGGUGCUCAACACGGCCAACCUGCCGCCGGUGAAGGAUGUUGGGCUGGGCUCUGACCUGGUUAGGAUCGAUGGUAAGUCCAUGUGCUCGCCGGGAUUCUCCUGCGACUCGGCCUACCAGGUCACCUACAUAGUGCGCGGCGGCGGCCGCGUCCAGGUCGUCGGGAUCGAUGGCACCCGUGUGCUGGAGACCCGCGCCGAGGCGGGCUGCCUCUUCAUCGUGCCCAGGUUCUUCGUCGUCUCCAAGAUCGCCGACGACACCGGCAUGGAGUGGUUCUCCAUCAUCACCACGCCAAAGUACGUACUACGUAUUAUUUUAUUUUUAUUCUCGUUCGAUCUGCUGUAUAUUUUCUUGCUACAUCAAGCAUGUCAAGCACUACUGUAUAUCAGAUCUCAUAGCAUUAUUUUGUUCGGUAUAUUAUAUAUUUCAAUUUGGAGAAAUUCAAGUAUACGUGGCCCUAGUUUGUUGCACAAUUUUGUGGCAUCCUUUCCCCUUACUGAAAUUAAAGUUUCCUGCAACAUAUUCAAAUUUAUUCAAUAAUUGUGGAUUAAACAAUGCCACUGUAUCUUUUCUUACUGCAUUUUGGUAGCAAAAAUAUAGGGAACAUAUAGCUGUGUGUAUCAGAUCUGAUGCAUUAUUUUUGUUCGCUAUAUUCUGUUUCAGUAUUGCAACAAUUCAAGUAUAAACUUAUUUCUAGCUGCAACUACGGAUGUUUCUUACAGACUGGAUUCCUCCCGUAUGUUUAACAUUUUUGUAUAUACCCUUAUUAGCUGCACAAUAUUGUGGCAUGUUUUGCAUUUUCCCAAAAUGAAAGUUUCCGACAUAUUCAAGUUUAUUGCACUUAUAUAUAGUUAUAUCGAUUGAUUUGAUUAACUAAUGCUUGUGUUGUGUGCAACAACUGCAGCCCGAUCUUUAGCCACUUGGCUGGUAGGACGUCGGUGUGGAAGGCGAUAUCGCCGGAUGUGCUAGAGACGGCCUUCAACACCACGCCAGAGAUGGAAAAGAUGUUCCGCUCCAAGAGGCUUGACUCCGAGAUCUUCUUUGCUCCCAACUAGACCAUCCGCACAUCUGUCCAUCAUUGGCUUGGCAACACCUUAGGUUAUGUUUUCAUUAGGGUCGCCCAGGGUUAGUUAAAUUGAAGUUUCUCGCGUUUGAUGGAUUAUGUAAUAAUAAGCCUUUGAUGGAUUUGUCACGCUGGUUAGUUUUUAUGGAACUCUUUGAGAUCAGUUAAUGUUCAAUCAAUGCAAGUGGAAUAUCGAUAUAUUCUUGCAGUGGGUAAUUUGUCACUGUUGUGUGUGCGGUGCAUGCACCCCUGCAGGUUAGGCUUUAUCAAGCUCUUUUAGAUCAGUUAAUGUUCAAUCAAUGCAAGUGGUGUAUGGAUACAUUCCCGCAGUUGUAAUUUGUCAUUGUUGUGUGGGUGCACGCUCACUCCCAGCUAUCUAUUAACGAAUAAUUUGAUCAAUAGUUUUUUUUUCCACAAAAAAUGCAAGUUUGAACUUUCACACUUUCAAACAAACUUGAGCAUAGAGAAAUGGAAUGGAAUACGUGAUGUACUGGUGAGUGUGUGUGACUGUCCCGUGAUUCAAGUAUCUAUCUGAUUUCAAGUCCUGCUGAAAAAUUUCAAAUGGAAAGGGCUUUAAAGUCAGCCUAUGACAGCAUAUGGUGGGAUUUUCAUAAAUUUUGUUUGAGGAGUUGUAUCAACUUGAUUUAAGUUGAUGCACCAUUGCAUUAGUUUUAUGUCCAUGUCCAACCCCUAUAGAAUGCAAUUUCAAGCAUUCCGAAAAGCAUGGCUUGGUCAACUAAUUAAGGAAAAUAGUUACCCAUACAUCUACAAUUCUGCAUAUAGUUGUAUACUAAGAGAUAAUUCUGUAAUAAAUUUUUGUUUCAUACCAAAAUGCCAAAUAUAUCCCCAUUGCAUAAAUAAAUACCGAUAAGAUGUCUCUAAUAUACAAACAUUUUUUUUGUUGAAGCCAUACAAAUAAAACAACUGAUUGAAUUGCUAGCCCGUGUGGUUGCACAUGUUAGGUGGUUACACUAAUGUGCCGAGCUUAUAAGAUUGCAUAAAUUUGAGUACACAUUGGCAACAUGCAGAAUGGUCACAAGCAUAUUAAAUCUUUGGCUUAAACCCAAAUGUGUGAUUUGGACCUCAGUUGAGACGGUAAUACAAUGUGUGAUUCUCAAGUUCAGGGACCACCAUGGCACACGAGUGUAUAAACAUAGGGGACACUUGACUACAUUAUUUCCAAUAUAACUUAUAACCAUCUCAUGCAAACCUAGUAGUGUGAUGAAUAUUAUAUCGGUGAGAUUACAUUGUACCCUACAUGUCCACUCUACAUAUAUACAACUUAUCUUGAACUAGAAGUAACAACUCAAUUUUUUUUUUCAUAUUGGUGGCAGAUGAUGAUUUUCUUCUCUGAACAAGAAUAAAUUAAUUGAUGGAUGGCGACAAGGGUGACAUGGACUGAUAAUCUUGCGUGUAACAUAAAGAAGAAUCUACAAAUUGAUUGAUUCCUCGUGACUUAUAUAUAUGUUAGCCAAUGAUAGGCGAGAGAGGAAUCGACUUCAUGAAAACCAAAUUAAGAUUUUCUAUGUUUGCGUGAUAGUCAUACUAAUAACACAAAAAGAAAGCUUCUCUUCUGUACGAAUACUUUUUAGCACAGAUAGUGCGGUUCAAUCAAGGUUCAAGAGAGCUCCUCACAAGAAUCUGACUCAAUUGAACAAGAAAUUGACAUGGAUAUCCAGAAUACACUCCUUUCUUCCACAUAUUAAGCGUGCCCGUUUCCUUGAUUUUUUUCCCACAUAACAAGCUCAAAUAUAUCAAACAAUGCUUCUUGGUUCUCAAUGUAUCUGAAAUUUGAUUAAAAUUAGUUUCGCCUCCUUAUGAGGCACACAACAUGCGGCGAUUUUAUUAUAGGUAAGUAUGGUACUCAAGAAAUGAAUCAAAUGCUAAUUACAACAGUCUGGGACAUCAAAUAAAUACUGACGUUUGAACAAUGCUGACCAGAAGGAUGUCAUCAGUGUACGUACAUACGGGUAAGACGAGAUGUAUUAUGUUCAAUGACAUCCAUCAAGAUUAUUAUUCAUCUAUUAGUUGGAACAAAGUUUAAGCAGAAAAUUUGACGCCUUUGUCAUUCACCGAAGUACCCUUAAAGAUAAUUGUCUUUCCCUUCUGUUCCAACAGCCUCAAAACACGCAUCAGGACACCAUGAUCAAUUGUCGUGAGUUCUGCAACAAAAGCCACAACAUAAAAUGAGGAUCCUAAGUAGCCACAGUUAAUAUCAUAAGACCACCAUCAAAAAAAUGAUAUACCAUAAGACAACUUUUAUUUAUUAUGAGCAAGGGGCAUGCAUGGUCUAUGCUAUGUAUUACUUUUUUUUCCUUUUUUGUGAAUUAUGUAUGGCCUGUGUAUGUAUUACUGAUGAAGUACCACCACGAACUUAUGUCAGGGCAUAAGCUUCGCUUGCAUCGUGUGUUGAUACAUGCCGGAAUGUUUUCCGAGGAUUACCUCUAGUUUAUCCAUUCACUAGUAGAAAAAGGGGCUUUCGUUCGGGCCUGGCCAGCCCAUUAGUCCCGGUUCCGCCACGAACCGGGACCAAUGGAGGCAUUUGUCCCGGUUCGAGAGCCCAGGGGGGCGGCCGGGGCCUCGUGGGCAUUGGUCCCGGUUCGUCUGGGCCCAUUUGUCCCGGUUCUUGGCACGAACCGGGACCAAUGGGCCUCGCUCCUGGCCCGCAACCAUUGGUCCCGGUUCGUGGCAGGAACCGGGACAGAAGGAAGGCCUUUAGUAUCGGUUCCAUCCACGAACCGGGACAAAUGAGUUGCCUAUAUAUACCCCAUCGCCGGCGAGCAGAGCACUCCACAGUGCUCUGUUUUUUGCUGGCCAGCGAGGGGGAGGGCAUUGGGUGCUCUAGCUCACCUCCUAUGCACAUGAGGUGUUCGAUGAAAUGCCCGAGCCACACUAGUUAAGCUUUCUCCUCUCGAAGCUCGACCUCCGAGCUUCAUUUUUCCCGAGAUUUGUCUAGCUUUAUAUUAGCGGUCCGUCACGCCCCGUCCCCGUCUUCACCGCCGUCGAUCGCCCGCGCCGAUCUCGUUGCCGGGACCACCGUGGUGAGCCUCUUGUUCUUAUCUUCCUUCUGAAAAAAAAUUCUUACUUUACAUAGAUACUUGUCUAAUUUUCUUACUUUUGACACACAUAAUUAUAUAUAAUGCACGCAGAUGAACCGGCAAUGGAUGUACGGUGACAGACACACCUCCGAGUACAUUAAGGGCGUGCAUAAUUUUCUCGAAGUGGCUGAGGCAAACAAGCAGAAUGGUUUUAUGUGCUGUCCAUGCCCUAGCUAUGGGAAUACGAGGUCUUACUCUGACUCGAAAACUCUUCACACCCACCUGCUUUAUAAGGGUUUCAUGCCACACUAUAAUGUUUGGACCAAGCACGGAGAAAUAGGGGUUAUGAUGGAAGACAUCGAAGAAGAAGAGGACGAUGACAACUAUGUGCCCCUGAAUACGGUGAUGCUGCAACGGUGGAAGCUGUUGAAGAUCAAGAGGAACCAGACGAUGUGCCCGAUGAUGAUCUCCGCCGGGUCAUUGUUGAUGCAAGGGAAAAGUGCGAAAGUGAAAAGGAGAAGCUGAAGUUCGAUCGCAUGUUAGAGGAUCACAAAAAAGGGUUAUACCCCAAUUGCGAAGAUGGCAACACAAAGCUCGGUACCGUACUGGAAUUGCUGCAGUGGAAGGCAAAGAAUGUUGUGCCUGACAAAGGAUUUGAGAAGCUACUAAAAAUAUUGAAGAAGAAGCUUUCAAAGGAUAACGAAUUGCCCGACAGUACGUACGCAGCAAAGAAGGUCGUAUGCCCUCUAGGAUUGGAGGUGGAGAAGAUACAUGCAUGCCCUAAUGACUGCAUCCUCUACCGCGGUGCGUACAAGGAUUUGAACGCAUGCCCGGUAUGCGGUGCAUUGCGGUAUAAGAUCAGAUGAGAUGACCCUGGUGAUGUUGAGGGCGAGCCCCGCAGGAAGAGGGUUCCUGCGAAGGUGAUGUGGUAUGCUCCUAUAAUACCACGGCUGAAACGACUGUUCAGAAACAAAGAGCAUGCCAAGUUGAUGCGAUGGCACAGUGAGGACCAUAAGAAAGACGGGAAGUUGAGAGCACCUGCUGACGGGUCGCAGUGGAGAAAAAUCGAGAGAAAGUAUUGGGCUCAGUUUGCACGUGACCCAAGGAACGUAUGGUUUGCUUUAAGCGCGGAUGGCAUUAAUCCUUUUGGGGAGCAGAGCAGCAAUCACAACACCUGGCCCGUGACUCUAUGUAUGUAUAACCUUCCUCCUUGGAUGUGCAUGAAGCGGAAGUUCAUUAUGAUGCCAAUUCUCAUCCAAGGCCCUAAGCAACCCCGCAACGACAUUGAUGUGUACCUAAGGCCAUUAGUUGAAGAACUUUCACAGUUGUGGAAUGGCAACGGUGUACGUGCGUGGGAUGAGCACAAAUAGGAGGAAUUUAACCUGCAUGCGUUGCUGUUUGAAACCAUCAACGAUUGGCCCACUCUCAGUAACCUUUCAGGACAGACAAACAAGGAAUACCACGCAUGCACGCACUGUUUAGCUGACACCGAAAGUAUAUACCUGGACAGAUGCAGGAAGAAUGUGUACCUGGGCCAUCGUCGAUUUCUCCCGACCAACCAUCAAUGUCGAAAGAAAGGCAAGCAUUUCAAAGGCGAGGCAGAUCACUGGAAGAAGCCCGCCAUGCAUACCGGUGAUCACGUACUUGCUAUGGUCUCUGAUUUACACGUAAUCUUUGGAAAGGGUCCCGGCGGACUAGCUGUUCCGAAUGACGCUGAGGGACGCGCACCCAUGUGGAAGAAGAAAUCUAUAUUUUGGGACCUACCCUACUGGAAAGAGCUAGAGGUACUCUCUUUAAUCGACGUGAUGCACGUGAAGAAGAACCUUUGCGUCAACCUGUUAGGCUUCUUGGGUGUGUAUGGGAAGACAAAAGAUACACCUGAGGCAUAGGAGGACCUGCAACGUUUGCACGAAAAAGACGGCAUGCCUCCAAAGCAGUAUGAAGGUCCUGCCAGCUACGCUCUUACCAAAGAAGAGAAGGAAAUCUUUUUUGAAUGCCUGCUCAGUAUGAAGGUCCCGACUGGCUUCUCUUCGAAUAUAAAGGGAAUAAUAAAUAUUCCAGAGAAAAAGUUCCAGAACCUAAAGUCUCAUGACUGCCACGUGAUUAUGACGCAACUGCUUCCGGUUGCAUUGAGGGGGCUUCUACCGGAAAACGUCCGAUUAGCCAUUGUGAAGCUAUGUGCAUUCCUCAAUGCAAUCUCUCAGAAGGUGAUCGAUCCAGAAAUCAUACCAAGGCUAAGGAGUGAUGUGGUGCAAUGUCUUGUCAGUUUCGAGCCGGUGUUCCCACCAUCCUUCUUCAAUAUCAUGACGCACGUCCUAGUUCAUCUAGUCGACGAGAUUGUCACUCUGGGCCCCGUAUUUCUACACAAUAUGUUCCCCUUUGAGAGGUUCAUGGGAGUCCUAAAGAAAUAUGUCCGUAACCGCGCUAGGCCAGAAGGAAGCAUCUCCAUGGGCCAUCAAACAGAGGAUGUCAUUGGGUUUUGUGUUGACUUCAUUCCUGGCCUUAAGAAGAUAGGUCUCCCUAAAUCGCGGUAUGAGGGGAGACUGAGUGGAAAAGGCACGCUUGGAGGGGAGUCAAUAAUAUGCAGGGACGGAUAUUCUUGGUCUCAAGCACACUACACAGUUCUACAGAACUCUACCUUGGUGACCCCGAAUGUCGAUGAACACAAGAACAGUCUGCGCUCCAAACACCCGGAGCAGUGCGACGACUGGAUUACAUGUGAACACAUCAGGACUUUCAGCAGUUGGUUGGAAACACGUCUCAGAGGUGACAACACUGUUUGUGAUGAGCUGUACUCGUUGUCCAGGGGACCAUCUUCGACUGUAUUGACAUACAAAGGAUACGAGAUAAAUGAGAAUACAUUUUACACGAUCGCCCAAGAUCAAAAGAGCACCAACCAAAACAGCGGUGUCUUCUUUGAUGUAGCAACCGAGAGGGGAAAGGACACAUAUUAUGGUUACAUAGUGGACAUAUGGGAACUUGACUACGGACAUGAUUUUAAGGCCCCUUUGUUUAAGUGCAAAUGGGUCAAUCUGUCAGGAGGCGGGGUACAGGUAGACCCACAGUACGGAAUGACAACAGUGGAUCUGAACAAUCUUGGGUACACUGACGAACCGUUCGUCCUAGCCAAUGAUGUGGCACAGGUUAUCUAUGUGAAGGACAUGUCUACCAAACCGAGAAAAAGAAAAGAUAAGGAAGCGAAGACAUCAUACGAUGAGCCAAAGCGCCACAUAGUUCUUUCAGGAAAAAGGGACAUCGUGGGAGUGGAGGGCAAGUCAGACAUGUCCGAAGAUUAUGAAAAGUAUCAUGAAAUUCCUCCCUUCAAAGUCAAGGCUGACCCCAGCAUCCUGAUAAAUGAUGAAGAUUAUCCAUUGUUACGGCGCAAUAAGGAAAGGACACAAGCGAAGAAAAACUGAAGACGUUCUCUCCACAACUAUUAUGAUGAUACCAUGCCAACUUUCAACCUUUUCAUAGUUCAUUCGAAAUCCCUUUGUAACAGACGAGUUUCCGUAUGAAAUCCUGAUACUUCGAAAGAGAUUGUCCGUUUUGUACACGAAGUGCAUCCAGUUUUUGCCGUAACCCUCUCAACUUUCUUGCACAUGCUAUGUGGAUGAAAUGAUGAUACCACGCCAACUUUCAACCUUUUCAUAGCUCAUUUGAAAUGCUUUUCAAUUUUAGGGUCUUAUAGCUCAAAAUAAUGAGUAAAUGCAUGAAAAAUAACAAAUGAAGUCAGAAAGGGUUGAAAAUUGAUGAUGUGGCUUUGAAUGGUGCAUUUUGAACACACAAAAAGUGAGGAGUUCAAAUAAGUUUAAAAAAUGAAAUCCCUUUGUAACAGACGAGUUUCCGUAUGAAAUCCUGAUACUUCGAAAGAGAUUGUCCGUUUUGUACACGAAGUGCAUCCAGUUUUUGCCGUAACCCUCUCAACUUUCUUGCACAUGCUAUGUGGAUGAAAUGAUAAUACCAUGCCAACUUUCAACCUUUUCAGAGUUCAUUUAAAAUGCUUUUCAUUUAAAAUAGCUCAAAAUAAAAUAAAUAAGUAAUUAGAAACAAAAUAAUAUAAACUUUAAUAAAAUAUAUAAGUAGAAACAAAAUAAAAUAAACUUUAAUAACAUUUAUGAAACUAAAAUUAACAAAGUAUUUAUAAAGAAAGCAAAAAAACAGUCAAAAAAUAAAAAAUAUGCUACCUACUGGGCCACCACGGCCUGAAUACGACUAGAAACCCAUCGAUGGGCCAGGAUUCAGGCCCGUAGAAGGCCCAGUAGGCCCAUCAGGCAUAGCAGUGACAAUUAGGCACGUAACCUGCAAUGGAGAGGAGCUCGAGAGGGGUGCGGCAGUGGGGCUUAUAAACCACUGCGCGCCCCUCUCAACUAGCGAGGUGGGACUAAACUUUCGNNNNNNNNNNNNNNNNNNNNNNNNNNNNNNNNNNNNNNNNNNNNNNNNNNNNNNNNNNNNNNNNNNNNNNNNNNNNNNNNNNNNNNNNNNNNNNNNNNNNNNNNNNNNNNNNNNNNNNNNNNNNNNNNNNNNNNNNNNNNNNNNNNNNNNNNNNNNNNNNNNNNNNNNNNNNNNNNNNNNNNNNNNNNNNNNNNNNNNNNNNNNNNNNNNNNNNNNNNNNNNNNNNNNNNNNNNNNNNNNNNNNNNNNNNNNNNNNNNNNNNNNNNNNNNNNNNNNNNNNNNNNNNNNNNNNNNNNNNNNNNNNNNNNNNNNNNNNNNNNNNNNNNNNNNNNNNNNNNNNNNNNNNNNNNNNNNNNNNNNNNNNNNNNNNNNNNNNNNNNNNNNNNNNNNNNNNNNNNNNNNNNNNNNNNNNNNNNNNNNNNNNNNNNNNNNNNNNNNNNNNNNNNNNNNNNNNNNNNNNNNNNNNNNNNNNNNNNNNNNNNNNNNNNNNNNNNNNNNNNNNNNNNNNNNNNNNNNNNNNNNNNNNNNNNNNNNNNNNNNNNNNNNNNNNNNNNNNNNNNNNNNNNNNNNNNNNNNNNNNNNNNNNNNNNNNNNNNNNNNNNNNNNNNNNNNNNNNNNNNNNNNNNNNNNNNNNNNNUAUUAUUGUUGAAUAUGCAAAUGUUUGUGUGUUCAUAUAUAUGCAAAGAAUAUGUCAAUUUUUUUCAUAGAAUUUUUAUGAUUUUUUCUAUUGUCAUUUUGUUCAUAGUUUUUUUUUGUUCAUAGAAUUUUUAUGAUUUUUUUCUGUUGCAAUUUUGUUCAUAGAAUAAGAAGAGAAAGUGUUUAAUAGAAUUAGUUAGAAAAAUAAUAGAACUAGUUAAACUAUUUUAUUUUUAGUAAGUACUACUUUAUUCUAUUUAUAGUAAGUGUGCUUAGUAGUUGAACUAGUUGAUUUAAUAAAACUAGUUUAUUUUACUAUAGAAGUAGUUUAUUUUUAGCAAGAAAAUUAAUAGAACUAGUUUAUUUUUUUUGUUAAAGCAAUUAUUCCUGCAUCGACGUCGACGUUGCCAAUCCCGCAUCCUCAUCGUCGACUCGGCGGAGGAGGCCGGCUUGAUCAGAGGGGCCAUGUCCGGGACUGGGCUCCGCCGGGCUGGUUUUGGGAGGUGCUACCUUCCGGGGGGCGUAGGUUGGUGAGGAGCCAGCCCGUCGUUGACCCGAUCCUUGUUUGGUGGCGGUCGCGUGGGCCAGUGACGGUGCCGAGGCUUCCGGACACCGCGGAGGCGGUACGUCACCGUGUCAGCGAGGAGGACGAGCACGUCCGUUGCUACAUGGUUGCGUUGGAGGGCAGGUUCGACAAUACCUGGCAGGUUCUUCAGGGAUCUCACUGGAGCUAUGAUCCUGUGAUGGUUCCUUCUCUUUGGGUGUCCACCGCCCGCGCCGAUACCCGUCGGGCGCUACGGUUCUAGCUGUACUAGCGAUGCUAUAUGUAUGAUAGUAUUCGAGGUGUAUUAGUGAUAAUAUUCGACGAUAUACGGACGCAUGGAGAUGAUGUAGUUUUGCUUAUAAUUGAAUGCAUCCUAAUUUGAAUACUACUUUAUUUUGUGAUUUGAUUUUGCUUAUUGAAUGCUCAAAUUGGAAAACUACUCCUACUUUGAAUGCUAAAAUUGGAGAGCACUAUGCAAGGCGUAUGCAUAUGAUUAGUUGAUAGCUUAUAGGGUUUUUAUUUUGGCAGAAAUCUAGGAGCCCCCCUCCAUCAUCCCCGCCGUCGUCCCCGUCACCGACCCCCUCCGACCUUGAGGUGAGACCAGCCACGAACCGGUUUUAGAAAGAUAAUUAAACGAUAUUUCGGGUUGACUUUAAGUCUGUUGAGUCUCCACCAUAUAUAAGAGGACGAAGAAUCCCGACUGUUGUCGUGGGGGUAGCUUCUCCUUCGUUCCCGUGUGCUAGACAAUUUGGUGUAAUGCACUCGGGAACGAAAGGAGGAGCUACCAUCACCGACGGUCGCAAAUGUCAGAGAGGAAUCAGUGAGGGAGAGUUCCACCAUAUAUAUAUGAGAGGACGAAGAAUCCGGACUAUUGUCAUGGGGUCACUUCUCCUUCAUUCCCGUGUGCUAGACAUUUUGGUGUAAUGCACUCGGGGAUGAAAGGAGGAGCGACCAUCACCAACAGUCGAAUGUAUACACCACAUGAGCUGAGAGUUUUCAAGAAAAGACUCGACAGACCGAUAGUCAACCCGUAAUGAAUUAUAAUGAUCUAACUUAGGUUUUUUAGUACAUAUAUUUAAUUGUAGACGUUUAAUAUUUGAAUUAUGAACAUAGGAAAUGUCGUACUCGGACGACGAAAGUCUCCUGGGGGAGUGCGACUGGUGCCACGACGACCGAGGUCAGUGCGACAGGUUCAUUGAGCUGGACGAAGAUCGACGCUUCAGCAUUAAGCUCGAGGAGACCUUCGAUGUUGAAACGGUACGCAACAACGACAAGUGUUUUUUUUCGUAAUUAAGCACGACUUCAACUAUAUAUUUCAGUGCGUACUUAUCAUCUUUUACAAUUCGACUCGCUUAUCCCAUGCUAUGCAAGACGCUAUGUCUUGGAGAGGAUGGGUUUUGAAGACCAUGAAAGUAUGGAAACAAAGAAAAUUCACCUAAGGACCCAUCAUGGUAUGGAUUUCGAAGUAAAACUGUACAAUUCUGAGAGCGUAACCCAUUUUGGUUGCAAAAAUUGGGAAGCACUUGGCAAGAUGUAUGGUUUUCAUGAGGAUAUGCUUGUCACCAUGGAUCUUGGUGAUCCUGAAAUCGAGCAAAACAAUCUGGACAUUUGGGUCCUUGUUGAUACGCCUCCAAUUCUACCGCUAUGUGAGUUUCUCAAACAUAGUUAUUAACUAAUUUAUAUUGUUUAUUUCAAAAUGUUGACAACUUAUUUCCAUUGACAACUUAUUUCCAUUGACAACUUAUUUUCAUUCUUCAAAGAAUGUGCGAAAGAUGGUAGACAAAACCCACUAUGAUGACUGCGAAUUAACUUAUCAGGAGAAAAAUCAUCUGAUCACAUUUUGUACUGAUCUUGAGAAUUACAAUAUCUACAAUCAAACUCCUCAACAUUAUGGUCAAUACGUGCCACUAGUGCAUGUGUUGAACAACAGUAACUUCCAUGGAGAUACCCUGGUAAGAUUUUUUACUAUUACGACAUCCUUGCAUCUUUUGCAUACUUCUCAAACUAGUACAUCAUUGCUAACUACGAAGUUAUUACUAUGUUUUUCAACAGAUAAUCCCGAACGAUUGUGUGCCUCAUCUGAUGUAUCAGCAUGGUGGUCGCCUUGAUGUUUUGAACAUACUGCCAGGUCAUCCUACGAAUCUCAACUGUCCAUACCGGAUUUCUAAAAGAAGUGGAGACAUGACAAUCAAAGAAUGGAAAAAAAUGUAUGGACGGUCGUAAGGAGGUUCUUGGAAGCAAAAGGAAGCGAAGCGCAAGAAUUGGAGACAGGAUGAUCUCCAUUCUCCAUAAUGGAGAGUCAGGGUCUAUAUUGUUUUAUGCUAUUUUACCUUAAAGAGGGUAUUUAGGUCCUACCUAAUACUGAUGAUCAUGUGCCUAGAACAAUUAAGUAGGGUUGGUUCGAUGACUAUGAGGAUGAUGAGCGUAUGACUUGUUAUUAAUAACGAGUAGAAGUUGUAUGAUGAUGAUUAGUAGGACUUAUUAUUACGAUGAUGCAUGAUGCGGGCAUGAAGAGUUAUUAUAUAUCAGUGGGUGAAAUGAACAUGGAUUGGAUUGAAGUGAAGGCAACAAGCAUGUGGUGCAUGUCGAAAGUAGUACUAAUCCAACUUGAUCAAGUUAGGAUUAAUAUUACUUUCGACAUGCACCACAUGCUUGUUGCCUUCACUUCAAUCCAAUCCAUGUUUAGGCAUAGCAGUAGCGUUGGUAAACCAAGCAUGGAAAUAAGAGAGGACACUUCUCUCUGUUAGCUAGCUUACACACCCUAAAUUACCCCCUAAACCACCCCCUUUCAUAAAAAAACAAAAACCUCAGCUCUUGCCAGCUGCUGACGCGUGGAUGCCUAUUGGUCCUGGUUUGUGCCACCAACCGGGACCAAAGGGCCUCCUGCCUGGGCUCGCCGCACGGGCCACGUGGAGGCCCAUCUGUCCUGGUUCAUGUAAGAACCGGGACUAAAGGUCCAGGGCAUUAGUAACGACACUUUAGUCCCGGUUCAACAACCGGGACAAAAGGCCCUUAAGAACCGGGACAAAUGGCCCUUUUUCUACUAGUGAUUCUUCGUACAACAUAGAUUAGCCCUAGCUUUAUAUAAUAUUCAUACCCAAAUGGAAAACUCUAACUGGAAAAUUCCAAUAGAUUCUUAUCCAAGCUAACUGUCACUGAGCCUAGGCUUAGCUAGAUAGUUCUUCCUGAGGCUUGUGGCGGCUAAAAAUAAUUCCAAACCCACAUGACAAGUUGGGUUAAAAUGAAAAUUUUUAUCCAAGAUGAGUCUAAAUCCUACAUGUAUAUUACCGUUUCUACCUCAAAUUGCUUUCAAGCAAGAAAAUAAGAUUUUUAUUACAAAAAUAUUGAAAAUGGUAAAUCUAAUCUCAUCUCCAUCAAGUUUGGUAUACUUACCAGUGCUAUGUUUCAGUUCCAUGAGCGCCAAGCCAUCAUUGAAGUGCCAAAAAAACACCACUUUAGUGUUUUUAGCACCCGUAGAUUCGAAGGGCAACCCAAGACCAUGAGGUGUUUGGCUCUGGCAAGGCGGCAUUGAUCAACCUCUUGUUCGACGAUGAGUAGUUUUAGGACGGUCUAGCUCUAAUCUAGGAUCAGUAUUAUAUAAUUAAGGGACGUGGAGUAUCUGGUCCGAGCUAAAAUGCUCCAUGAUGAGCAGUAAAAUAAAAAAGUAAAAAGACAAAAGAAUAUGAUUUUUUUAAUGGUAAACUUUAACAAAUGUUUUGUGUACAUCCGAGAAGUCGUGGCAAAAAAAGAUGCUGCAAAAAUGCUAUUCUUAAAGCACAUAAUUUUGGAGUGUUCAACUUUUCAUGACUUCCUCUAAUGUCAUUUCGUGCUGAAAUUUUUCAAGCACAUAAUUUUUUUUAUAAAGUUUGCCAUAAAAACAUUUCAAAGUUUUUGAACUUGUAUUCUUUUUUUAUUUUACUGUUCAUCCAAAUCUCAUUUGAUCUCGGGAGAAGAAUAGGAGUUCCGAUAAUUAGGUACUUUUAGUUUUAAUGAAUGGAAGUAUUGUAUACUUAAGCAGUAAGUUACAUAAAUCUAGUUUCAAUUUGUGUUUGAAUGAGUAUUUGCGCAAAAUUUAGCAUCUGAUGAGUGAAGAAUUUUGGGGAAGAGAUAGGCGCAAUUUUUUAUGACUUGAGGACUUAAGUUUUACGGGGUCAUUUGAGGGUUUAAAGGAUUGGGGAAGAGCUAAAGAUGCUCUUAGCUAGUAAUUAGCCCCCGCUAGUAGGGAGGUUGUUCGCAGGGGAUCUUGAUCUUGUAGAAGUAGCUAAUAGUGGAUAUGUUGUUUUUCUUCGGAUUACUAAGGGGGGCUCGAAAUUGCACUGCUUUGUUCAGCAGAAACAUACAUUCAAUCAUUUUAUAAGUUUCGGCUGACGUGUCAUGUCAUGGGGUAUGUGAUAGAUAUCAAGUAACAUCCUCGGAGAGAGGUGAUAUACAAGAUCAGUACGUAAGUUGGUAAGGAUUUCUUUUUUGGAUCAUCUCCCCUGGUGGUAUCUCGCUGGAUAAAUCCGAGUGGUGCUUGUUGGUGGAUGCCUUGCCUGCCAUCUUGGCUCACAUAUGGUGUAUGUUGCGAUAAUGGAGGAGACGAGGAUUCUCUAUACAUGCCCACAUUCGCGGGGCCUCAUCAUGUGCCAUGUUUUACUCUAAGUGUUGAUCACGUGCCCCUCUCUAUUUUUACCUUUGAUCAUAUACUCUCAUUUUUAGCGAAAAGGAUCCAAAUCUAUUAUCAAAGUUCAUCAGAAGUACAAAGCACCUCAAACAUGAUAAAAUUUACAUCGAGAUUUUAAGACCACCGAAUGACCAUUACCGCCGCCAGAACGAGCCAUCGACGCGCCGCUAUCGCCGCUCCCCUAACAGAGCCGGCUUGAACUUGUCGAUGACAGCUGGGAAGUCUUCGUGCACAUGCCCCUAAGGACCAGUGUCUUUGAGCCGUAGUCAUCCCUGUUGAAUCAUGAAUAGAUCAGAAGCACUUGACACCAAUUCUCGGUACGUGACGAGAAACCUUAAUCUCAUAGCCCCAAGGGUACUGCGGGAACCUGCGCCGGAGCUCCGUCGACUACGUCUAGACGGGCGAAAUCAAGGAGGAUCAGAGCCUGAAUAACAAUCUCGAAGAAGAACCGACGUCAUCCGCCCGAGCACCUCACCUGCAAGGACUGAAAAACCCUAGCCUAAACUACUAACCAGAGCAGAGACAUCGAGAUUGCUCUCCUCUCCACCAGCUGCCAGAGAGGCAGGCAGAGGGGAUGUUUUUCCACGUGCUCACCGGCGAAGUCUGGAGGGCAGAGUUUGCCCUAGUCGCCAAGGAAUAGAGGAGGAAAAACUAAAGACGUUCUUUCUUUGCUAUGAUCAUAUGCUCUUGUUUAAUUUACCAUCUUAAUCAUUUUCCCUUUUUAUUUAAUUUCAAGUAUUUUCAUGUUGUUGGUUCGAUAAUGAUCAGUAUUUCGAUCUAGUUUGUUGGAGAUGAUAACUGAUUAACCGGAAUAUUAUCUAGAUCAUGAGUGCUCAUCCCAUUUUCUUCGAGCAUUAGCAAACUCAUUAAUCAUCAUAUAUAGUCGAUUGGAUAGGAUUAAGGGUUCGGGAAUGCAUGUAAGUUCUACCCAAUGCACACACGCAUGCAUGUUCGAGUUGAGAAGUUUGGGGCUGAGGAGAGCUACCUAACAGUCCCUAAGUAGAUGCUCUCCUUUGAGAACCACCAUUCAUCUCAUAUUCACCCCACCCCGUCAUUUAUUCUUGAUUUCUUUGUGGACUCCUUUUCCCUAUUGAAGGAGCACAUCUCCCCUUCAUCCUACUAUUUCAAGCGGAAUUAAUUAAAUGCACGAGGACAUGAAAGUGUAUGUUAUCACCCCAAAAAAUUAGGGAUGGUGAUGGGUAGGUACAACCCUUUUCUGCCCAAACCCCUAUCCCCACACAAUUUUUUAUACCCACCCACUUCAAUACGCAUGCGUAUAAAUUGAAACCCAUACCCAUACCGGCCGGGUAUCCCAUGCCCAAUGGGUAUCCAGUGGGUACAAUAUAUGGCAUUUGCAUUUCUUUCAAAAAAAAAUAGAGAAAUGAGUCUCAAAUUCAACUGAUCAUUUGAGACCAGUCUAGCACCAACGCUGCCUCCUCGAACAGGUGGCCUCUUGGAUGGUAAGGGAGUACGAGCAGCGAUUGGCGGAAUCCCUAUGCAGUUGGAGGUAGCAGUGGGAGCUGGGGAUCGCUGGAUCAAGAGUUGGACAAGAGUGUGGCCGCAAUGAGUCCAGAUUUCAUCAUUUUGGGGAGUCACAUAGGACGUUGGAGGAGUGGCAAGCUGGUGGUUGCAUACCUAUGAGCUAUGGCUUGUUUAGGUAAUAAGGGAUUUAGGGUUAGGCCCUAUGAUUUGUAUGUUCACCCCACAUGUCAUAGGAGUUACUUUCAUUUAUUUACCUUUUCUUGGUAUCCACUGGAUUACCCAUGGGCACAAUUUCAUACUCAUGCCCUACCCAUAUAUUUUGCGGGUAUGGGUGCCCAUUACCCAUGGAUACAAAAUCUUGCAGAGUCUUGCCCAUGCCUGGUGUUUUCGGGUAGGAUACCCGCGGGUACCCAUACCCAUGGGCAAAACUGCCAUCCCUACAAAAACUCUAUAAGCUGGGAAAAAAAUCUCCGACCAAAAGCCACCAUGGAAAAUCUUAUCCAACAAUUGGAUAUCAAAGAACAGUUUGACCACACACGAAAUCAUUCAAUAGCUACGAGCAAGUACGAUCUCUACAACAGAAAAAGUCAUUAAGGAUGUAAAUGAAGGCAUUUUAACAUCGAAGUAUCUUCAAAAAGGAUACAUGAGAAAAUAUCUCUGAAGUGAAAUAUUGUUUGACGACGUCAAAAGAUAUGACACAAGAAAAUAAAAAAGAUGAGAAAUUAUUCCCGGCUGAGAGAGCGAGUCACCAAACAUGACAGCCAUGAAAUAUGUGAAAGUUGCUCGAGGAGAUCAGAUUCUCUCAGAACAAAAUCAUAUCCCGGAACAACAUAAAGUAUGUCCUAAUACCCAAGAAAUAUGUAAGAGAACAUAAAAUAUGUGAUAAUAUCACGCAAAUUACAUGUGCGUGUGUGUGUGUGUGUGUGUGUGUGUGUGUGUGUGUGGUAUGGCACGAACGAGUUUACGAUAUUGUCAGAACAAUGUAUGCAACUUAAAAAGUUCAUAUAACCAACAUCUUAUUUUAAAAGAUGGCUUGGACUUGAUGUUGUGUGCAUGCAUCCCAUGUCAGUAAAGGCGGUGACUCUGCAAUUUGCACAUAAUAUGUUUUCUGUUGAACAAUUGUUGAUGUUUGGUUUCAUAAAGAAGCUUUGUGUGACUGUGAUGAAUAUAAAAAGUUGUAUGACAUUGCAGACCCACAGUUGAACAGGUUAACAAGUCCUUUCGCAAAAACAAAAAAAGAACAGGUUAACAAGUCUGUGUCGUGUUGACCUAUGAUAUUAUGUUUAUUUGCUUACUGAAGACUAGUGUUCUUUGUAUAAUAGCUGGAUUGUUUAUAGCAAUAACAAGAAUUGGAUUGUUUCUGAGGUUCGUAGCAGAGCUAAGAUGUAUGUCUUAACGGAAAAUUCUUCUAAGAUUAGUGGACUUGCCUGUUUAUACAGUGCAUUUAAGCUUUUAUAUAAGUACAACUGACGUGAGAAAACGGGAGCAGUUGAGUCACAGUUGUGUUGAAACCUGCUAUACAGUGCAUUUAAGCUUUUAUAUAAGUUUGCAUGUUUGCAGCUUCUACAGUGAAAACUAUUGCAAAAUUAGUAGAUCUAUAGGUAUUCUAAGUAUAUGGUAGCAAAUUGUCACAAAAGGUUUCGUGGUGUAGUUGGUUAUCACGUCAGUCUAACACACUGAAGGUCUCCGGUUCGAACCCGGGCGAAGCCAUCUAAUUUUUUUUUCUUUUUUUUCUCGCAUUUUCCAAUGAGUAAAAAAAAGGAAAAAAUAUAUUUGGCCCAUACAGGUCUCGAACCUGUGACCUUCGCGUUAUUAGCACGACGCUCUAACCAGCUGAGCUAAUAGGCCUUUUAUCAGUUGAUCAGUUUUUACGUAUUUAUAUUAUAAAUACUGAAUAUUAUGUACCUUCACCACAAGGGCUAAUGGUCCCUGCUAAAGUGGCGUUUUGAUAUCAAAAGCAUCUUUUAGUGCCCCCUGUGGCUAGUUUCCCAUUUCACCACCUAUGUUUGCAGGUAUUCAACCCUGUUGGAAUCUCCUUUUUUUGUCACUGUUUCUCACUUUUUGUGAUGUGAUGUGUGCGCAAAUAUUCCCACAGCAACUACACAAUAAUAAAGUCAUAUAUGCAAGCGACCGAAUAAUGGCAACUAUGUAUUAGCACUCUAUAUCUUGUGUAAAAAAAGUUUCAACAAUAUCGAUAUUCUCUCCCAUAAAAUAAAACCAUCAAUAGCUCACUUGUCCAUAUACCUGGAUGGAAAGUAAUGGCCGGUGUGGAGCACCCAAAGACGGCACGCCAAAUAUCGGUGUGUUAUUUAACUCCACUAGGUAGACAAGUCACUAUAUGCACCCAAUUAUGUAAGAAAAAUAAAUAAGACAAGAACGCCAUAGAUGGAGCUUUAUACAGAUGGGGACAAGAAUUUAGCACCACCCACUCAGUUUCCCUCUCACCUUUUUGCAUUGCUUUCAUAUGUAAAAAGAAAAAGUGAGGUGAUUUGCCACCUGCCUUAAAAUGAGAAGAUGANNNNNNNNNNNNNNNNNNNNNNNNNNNNNNNNNNNNNNNNNNNNNNNNNNNNNNNNNNNNNNNNNNNNNNNNNNNNNNNNNNNNNNNNNNNNNNNNNNNNNNNNNNNNNNNNNNNNNNNNNNNNNNNNNNNNNNNNNNNNNNNNNNNNNNNNNNNNNNNNNNNNNNNNNNNNNNNNNNNNNNNNNNNNNNNNNNNUAUAUAUUCACAUGUUUAUUUAUUUUGUAUUCGUUUGUGCAUGUCAAAAAAAACAUAAAUUUCCACAAGCAUACAUAAUACUCAAUGAUCUACAUCGACAAUAGGCUUUGAGAUUUUUCAAAGCAUGACAAAAAAAAUCAAAUGAGGUCAGCUGGAAAUUAAAGAUAUGUUCGGACAUCCAAACAAUUAUGAUCUCUUUGGUCCAAACUUCAAAGGAAUCAUUAUAGAAAAUAGGAGAUUCUAACUGUUAGAUUACUUUCCUACGUGACUAGUUGGGAUGGGAACCAUAAUGAUAUUUUCUAUGGCCUACUUGACAUGUAUUCGGAAGGAAAAUUUAUGUCGAGCCAAAUCUUCUGAAAAUAAUUUCGUUGGUUCAAUGACAGCUAUGUGCUUGCACCUAAUGCUUUAGAAAAUUCCUGAAUUUUUCCCUCUUGCAAUAAAUCAACAUCCAUAUUUUGCGCAUUACUGUAUCUUCAAUUCCCAUAAGAUUCAACAUAGCAUGACAUGAAAUAUGUAUGUUAAUUUUUCCGGUUCCUAUCUUUUUAAAAUGCUGCAAAAGGAUGUGGUGUGUUAUCUUCAAAAAAUAGUGGGAGUGUGAUAGUUAUUGAAAUGCAUGUAGGACGGAGACUAACAUUUCAGUAAAAUUCAGCUUAUAAUACUAAAACUGAAAAAGUUGCCAAACCUACGGCAACCAAGAGCCGCCAAGAUUUCUUAAAUAAAAACCAUUUUCGCGACCUCCCCCUAAGAAGACAUAAAUUUUUCCUUGUCUUGACAUUCAAAAACACUGAGUGGGGGUUAUCGGCCGAAUUUCACUAAGAGCAUGCAUAAAAGAGAGCUGUCUAUUAUUAUUAUUUUGCUAGGCUUUCAGAAUUUAGUUUGAUAUUCCUUUAAUUCAGAAUUCAUAAUUUGCCGAGAAAUAGCACUAUAAAGUCAAGCAUUCCUAAACUUGACCAGGAUUAGGUUUUAUUCCUAGGGUAAUAAAUUCUAAGUUCUAAAAUUUAAGCAAAGAGACUUAUUUUUCCAAAAGAUUAGAUUCAUAGUUUCCCUCCAUUCCAAGAUACAAGGUGUAGUUUCUUAUGAAAAAACAAAUUUCUCUAUGCCCGGCCAAAUUUAAAAUAAAAUAUCUCUAUGUUUGGAAACAUUUUAUAUUUUGAAAAAAAUCAGUAGAGCUUAUAUUUUGAAAACGGGAGUUAGUAGGUACACCAAUAAUUCGAUAUACCCACAAAAUGCUGGCUCUAGUUGCUUUCAUGGUUCCUUUGUUGUAAGAAAGAAGCUAGUAGAGGCAAAUGGAAUCAAAUUAUGGGAGGAGGCGGCCCUAUCCUUAUUCCUCUUCCCCACGCGGUUGCUCUCGUCCAUCCUUUGCGAAAAGUGCAGCAUCUCUCAUCACCUUCUUCAUCUUCUCCUCCUCAUCCCUUCAUGCUCACUCGCCUAUAAAUAUCCCUCGCUGCCUGCCAUUGUUCCUCAAGCCAGCAAGCAAGAAGCACACAGGAAGCUCCUAGUCAACACCAAUCAAAGCCUCCAUCCAAUCCCAAGCAACCUCGAAGAUGUCUUGCUGCGGAGGAAGCUGCGGCUGCGGCAGCGCCUGCAAGUGCGGCAAUGGCUGCGGCGGCUGCAACAUGUACCCGGAGGUCGAGGCCGCCGGCGCCACCCUCCUCGUCUCCGCCACUGCCACCCACAAGGCGUACGUCCCUUCUCUUGACAAAAUUUUCUCCACAGCUCAUACAUCAUCAUGCACUCGAUCUUAGUUACAAUAUGGCUGUAUGUUGAUCUUGGUAUGGAUGGGGUACGUGCAGGAGCUCCGGCGGGAUGGAGAUGGCGGCGGAGAACGGCGGCUGCGGCUGCACCCAGUGCAAGUGCGGCACCAGCUGCGGCUGCUCCUGCUGCAGCUGCUAGAUCAUUGAUCAUGCAUGCGCCGCGUGCAUCAUAUCUAUGGUCUAUCUACCAUCUACUACCAUGUAACGCUGCCUGAUCGAGGGUCUUUGUAUGUAUGUACGCACCUGCCUGCAUGAGCAGAGCGGGUGCCAUGCCAUGCAUGUAAACCCCUAAAUAAAAUCUCCCGUGGUUUUGCUUACAUCGUGUUGUUAGAUCCUCCUCCUAUUAGUGUUGCUUUCGGGUUCUUCUUAUGCACGAGCAGGAUCAGAGGCCGGUCUUUUGUUCUUGGUCUUCUCCUCAAACUGUCGUUUUCCUCUUCUCUAUGGUUCCAUUUGCAGCAGUAUUUUCUUCUUCUGUUGCCGAGUUCUGUAUCAGACUGCCUUGUUUUGUGGUUUAUCCCUAUUCAUCUUGAAAUAUAGGUAUAGCGCAUGAAUUUAUUUGCAAAUGGUGUAUCUCAACGGGACACGAUGGUAUGCGUAUCUUGCAGGAUGUAUUGAUCUGUCUAUCUUAUGCGUCUUAUAUUAAAAAAAAAUUACAUUAAGGUCUCGUGGUGUAGUAGGUUACCACGUCAGUCUAACACACUACAUGGCGAAGCCAAAUUAUCAUUGUUUUUCCUUGCAUGCAAAAUGCAGCAAUAGAUCUUCGUCCUUGGCUAGUUUCCCAUAUUUUCACCGCCUAUGUUGCAGGUAUUCGACCCUAUUGGAGUCUCCUUUUUUGUCACUGUUUCUCACUUUCUGUGAUGUGAUGUGUGCGCAAAUAUUCCCACAGCAACUACAUAAUAAUAAAUCCAUUUACGCAAGCGCCCGAAUAAUGGCAAUGAUAUAUUACCGCUCAAAGCGCAUCUCCUAAUUAACCUGUCAUGUCCAUAGCUGCGUCUAAGCUCUCGGGGCAGAAAUACUCACUCUCGACCACUGCUUCAUAUCACCGAAUCCACACGGCCAAAUUACGUCCUCCAUUUUUUAAGCGGUGACACUAUAUCUCGUGGGAAAAUUGUUUCCACUGUUCGAUAUCCCUCCCUUUGAUGAAAAAAUUCACGCUUGGCUUCUGCAUCACAGAGUGCAGAUAACGAAAAUUGUUUUCUAUGUUCUGAGCUGGAACACUAUAUCUUGUGUAAAAAAAUUGUGUCAACAAUAUCGAUAUUCCCUCCCAUAAAAUAAAAUCAUCAAUAGCUCACUUCUCUAUAUAACUGAAUGGAAAGUAAUGGGCGGUGUGGAGCACCCAAGACAGCACGCAAAAUAUCGGUGUUAUUUUAACUCCACUACGUAGACAAGUCACUAUAUUUACCCAAUUAUGUAAGAAAUAUAAAUAACUCAAGAACUGUCUGGCCAUAGAUGGAGCUUUCUACAGGUGGGGACAAGAAUUUGGCACCACCCACUCAAUUUCCCUCUCACCUUUUUUGCAUUGCUUUCAUAUUAAAAAACAAAAAAAAAAUAGUGAGUUGAUUUGCGAUCUGCCUGAAAAUGACAAGAUGACGGUUGGGGGUUAAAAAAACAUUCAAAUGCAUUUUAUAUAUUCACAUGUUUACUUAUUUUGUAUUUGUUUGUGCAUGUCAUAAAAAUCAUCAAUUUCCACAAGCAUACAUAAUACUCAAUGAUCUACAUUGACAAUAGGCUUUGAGAUUUUUCAACACAUGACAAAAAAAAUCAAAUGAGGUCAGCUGGAAAUUAAAGAUCUGUUUUGACUUCCAAAUAAUUAUGAUCUCUUUUGUUCAAACUUAAAAGGGAUCAUUACAGAAAAUUUGGAGAUUCCAAUUGUUAGAAUAUUUUCCUACAGGACUAGUAGGGCUGUGAACCAUAAUGAUAUUUUCUAUGGCCGAAUUGACAUGUAUACGUAAGAAAAAUUUCUGUCGAGCCAAAUCUAUUGGAAAUAGUUUCGUUGGUUCAAUGACAACUAUGUGCUUGCACCUAACGCUUGAGAAAAUUCUUGUAUUUUUUCCCUCUUGCAAUAAAUCAACAUCUAUAUUUUACACAUUUACUCCAUCUUCAAUUCCCACAGAAUUCAACACAGCAUGACAUGAAAUCUGUAUGUUAAUUUUUCCGGUUCCUGUCUUUUUAAAAUCCUGCAAAAGGAUGUGGCAUGUAAUCUUUAAAAAUAGUGGGAGUGUGAUAGUUAUUGAAAUGCAUGUAGGAUGGAAACUAAAAUUUCAGUAAAAUUCAGCUUAUAACACUAAAACUGAAAAAGUUGCCAAGCCUAUGGCAACCAAGAGCCGCCAAGAUUUCUUAAAUAACAAAUAUUUUCGGCAACCUCCCCCUAAGAAGACAUAGCUUUUUCCUUGUCUUGACAUUAAAAAACACUGAGUGAGGGUUAUCGGCUGAAUAUAUUCACUAAGGGCAUGCACAAAAGAGAGUUGCCUAUUAUUAUUUUACAAUGCUUUCAGAAUUUAGUUUGAUAUUGGUUUAAUUCGUAAUUCAUAAUUUACCGAGAAAUACCACUACGAAGUCAAGCAACCCUAAACUUGACCGUUAUGGCUGCAUGCAUCAAUGUAUGCCGUGGGCCGCGGGGGGUCUUGUUUGGAAAAUAAUAAUGAUCUUAUAGUGCAAUGAUUGGUCAUUGCCUAAGGUAUUUCCCUCCGUUCCAAGAUACAAGGUGCAUUUUUUAUUAAAAAAACAAAAUUCCCUAUGUUUGACCAAAUUUAAAAUAAAACGUCUCUGUGUUUGGAAACCAUUUAUUUUUAUAAGCUCGAUCAAACAUAGAAGAUUUGACUUCAGAAAAAAAAAUUAGUACAACUUAUAUUUUGAAACGGGAGUUAGUAGGUACACCAAUAAUUCGAUAUACCCACAAAUGCUGGCUGUAGUUCCUUUCAUGGCUCCGUUGAUGUAAGAAAGAUGCUAGUAGAGACUAGAGACAAAGGGAAUCAAAUUAUGGGAGGAGGCGGCCCUAUCUAUAUUCCUCUUCCCCACGCGGUUGCUCCCGUCCAUCCUUUCCCAAAAGUGGAGCAUCUCUCAUUUCCUUCUUCAUCUUCUCCUCCUCAUCCUUCCUUGCUCACUCGCCUAUAAAUAGCCCUCGCUGCCUGCCAUUGUUAAGCCAGCAAGCAAGAAGCACAAAAGAGUCCAACACCAAUCAAGGCCUCCAUCCAAUCCCAAGCAACCUCGAAGAUGUCUUGCUGCGGAGGAAGCUGCGGCUGCGGCAGCGCCUGCAAGUGCGGCAACGGCUGCGGCGGCUGCAACAUGUACCCGGAGGCUGAGGCCGCCGGCGCCACCCUCCUCGUCUCUGCCACCGCCACCCACAAGGCGUAAGUUCCUUCUCUUAACAAAAUUUCCUCGUCAACUCAUACAUCAUCAUGCACUCGAUCGUAAUAAUAUGACUGUAUGUUGAUCUUGGUAUGGAUGGAUGGAUGCAGGAGCUCCAGCGGGAUGGAGAUGGCGGCGGAGAACGGCGGCUGCGGCUGCACCCAGUGCAAGUGCGGCACCAGCUGCGGCUGCUCCUGCUGCAGCUGCUAGAUCAUUGAUCAUCGAUCAUCGACCAUGCAUGCACCUGCCGCGCGCGUGCAUCAUAUCUAUGAUCGAUCGGUCCAUCUACUACCAUGUGUAACGCCAC
RNAcentral lists this long non-coding RNA (51857 nucleotides) under Triticum aestivum (bread wheat). RNAcentral describes it as "long non-coding RNA (TAES_LNC000954)". The stretch from base 13982 to 14055 matches the Rfam family "tRNA". The record is from RNAcentral. Lineage: Eukaryota; Viridiplantae; Streptophyta; Magnoliopsida; Poales; Poaceae.